UUUUUUUUAUGCUAUUCUUCAUCUUUUGGACUGUUUUGCUUUCUUCAUUACUUUCCACUCCAUUAUUGAUGGCAUUGAGUCCUUACUGAAGCAAAGAAAGCUGCUGCUCCAUUCCUAUUCUUCAUCUUCCCCUCAAUUCCUUCACCUCCUCUGCAGAGAAACAGACAUGGCCCUAGAGAUGUUUGCAGGAGCUUUUCUCUCCGCUUCUCUCCAAGUUCUUUUCGACAGGUUGGCUUCUUCCGAGGUCUGGAGCUUCAUCGGGGGACAGAAUGUCAGUGAAGAACUCCUUCUGGAGUUGGGGAUGAAAUUGCUGGUUGUGGAUAAAGUGCUCGACCAUGCUGAGGUGAAGCAAUUUACAGAUGAACGAGUCAAAAGGUGGCUGGUGCGCGUUAAGAAUGAUGUGUAUGAUGCGGAAGACCUACUGGACGAGAUUACUACGGAAGCUUUGCGACGCAAGAUGGAAGCUGCUGACUCCCAGACUGGCCCAACUCACGUAUUGAACAGCUUUUCCACAUGGUUUAAGGCCCCACUUGCUGAUCAUCAAAGCAUGGAGUCUAAGGUAAAGAAGAUCAUCGGCAAACUGGAAGUUCUUGCACAAGCAAUAGAUGUGCUUGCUUUGAAUGGUGAUGGUAAGAAAUUGCCACAAAGAUUACCCUCGACUUCUCUGGUGGAUGAAUUUUCUGUGUACGGCAGGGAUGAAAUUAAAGAGGACAUGAUUAAAAGGUUGUUGUCUGAUAAUACAAGUCGCAACAAGAUUGAUGUGAUCUCCAUAGUCGGCAUGGGCGGGGCCGGCAAGACCACACUGGCUCAGCUUUUGUAUAAUGAUGGGAGAGUGAAAGGACACUUUCACCUGAAAGCAUGGGUUUGUGUUUCAGAGGAGUUUUGUCUUCUCAAGGUGACAAAAUCAAUUCUCGAGGGAAUCAGAUCUGCGACCUCUUCUGAUAUGCAAAGCGAGAACCUAGAUUUGCUUCAGCAAAAACUGAAAGAGAGCCUUGGUGACAACAGAUUUCUACUCGUCCUGGAUGAUGUUUGGGAGAAAUGUCCUAGUGAAGGGGAAGGGUUACGAAUUCCGCUCCUAGCUGCUUGGGAAGGGUUACGAAUUCCACUCCUAGCUGCUGAGGAAGGAAGCAAGGUUGUUGUGACCACUCGCAAUCGAAACGUUGCAAAAAUCAUGCGUGCAGAUCAUACUCAUCCUCUGGAAGGGUUGUCCCAGGCACAUUGUUGGUCCUUAUUUCAAAAACUUGCAUUUGAAGAUGGAGACUCCAGCCCAUAUUCUCAGCUUGAGUCAAUAGGCAAAAAGAUUGUGGCUAAAUGCCAAGGAUUGCCUUUAGCGGUCAAAGCACUUGGGAGUCUCUUGUAUUCUAAAACUGACCGAAGGGAAUGGGAACAAAUUUUGGAGAGUGAAAUAUGGGGCUUACAACAUCAUCAAAUCCUUUCCUUGGUUGAUAUUGAGUUAUCGAGAUCUCCCAUUGCAUCUGAAACGAUGUUUUGCCUAUUGCUCCAUUUUCCCCAAGGGCCAUGAAUUCGACAGGGAGAAACUGAGUUUACUAUGGAUGGCAGAAGGACUUCUACAAUUUUCAAAAAGUAAUGAAAGAAUGGAAAAGGUAGGGGAGCAUUAUUUUGAUGAACUUCUUUCAAAGUCAUUUUUUCAAAAAUCUGUUUCCGAAAAAUCAUGCUUUGUCAUGCAUGAUCUCAUACAUGACUUGGCUCAAUACAUAUCUAGAGAAUUUUGUAUUCGAAUUGAAGAUGAUAAGGUGCAAGAAAUCUCUGAGAACACUCGUCACUCUUUGAUCUUUAAGAGUAACUUUCAUGGAAUGGUUGGGUUUAAGGGGUUUGAGGCCCUUGAGAAAAUAAAAUGUCUUCGAACAUACUUUGAGUUAAGGAGAAUGGAAUGGAAUAUUUAUAAACUAAGUAAAAGGGUUGAUUUACUCAUUAUAUUUUCCAAAUGGAGGUACUUACGAGUGUUGUCAUUGUAUAGUUAUAUUCUUAAUGAGUUGCCCGAUUUAAUAAGCGAAUUAAAAUAUUUGCGUUAUUUGGAUAUCUCAUAUACAAAGAUUAAAAAAUUGUCUGAUUCAGUGUGUUAUUUGUACCAUUUACAAACGAUGAUAUUACCAGGACAUGACUAUUUCAUCGAAUUGCCUUCAAGGAUGGAUAAAUUGAUUAAUUCGUGUUAUCUUGAUAUAAGUGGAUGGAGAGAAAUGCCAAGUCACAUUAGUCGAUUAAAAAAUUUAUGAAAGUUGAGUAAUUUUAUUGUGGGCCAAAAAGGUGGAUUAAGAAUUGGUGAAUUAGGAGAGCUUUAAGAUAUUGGGGGAAGACUUGAAAUUUCAGAAAUGCAGAAUGUGGUGUGUGCUAGGGAUGCAUUGGGAGCGAACAUGAAGGAUAAGAGGCACCUUGAUGAACUAGCCUUGAAAUGGAGCGUCGUAGCUACUAAUGAUGUUAUACAAAGUGGCGUAUUCAACAACUUGCAGCCUCAUCCAAAUCUGAAGCAGCUUACCAUCGAAAGCUAUCCCGGUAUAACAUUUCCAGACUGGAUAGGAGAUCCUUUAUUCUCCAAUCUUGUGUCUGUAUAUCUUCAUUGGUGCGGCAAUUUCUCAUCAUUGCCAAUGUUUGGGCAGCUACCAUCUCUUAAACAUCUUUCUAUUUUAGGAAUGAUAGGAGUAGAGAAGGUGGGAAGUGAGUUUUAUGGGGAUGCUUCUUCCGCCAUUACAAGUAAGCCCUCAUUCCCAUUCCUACAAACUCUAAGAUUUGAGUGUAUGGACAACUGGGAGAAAUGGUUAUGUUGUGGAUGCGAAUUCCGUCGUCUCCAGGAGCUUUAUUUAAUCCGCUGUCCCAAACUCACAGGGAAAUUACCAGAAGAGCUUUCUUCAUUGAAGAAACUUGAAAUUGAUAGAUGUGAGCGGCUGCUUGUGGCUUCACUCCAAGUUCCUGCCAUCCGUGAAUUGAAGAUGUUGGAUUUUGGUGAAUUGCAGUUGAAAAGGCCAGCCUCCGGCUUCACUGCUCUUCAAACUUCACAUAUUGAAAUUUCAAAUGUGUCUCAGUGGAAGCAACUACCAUUGGAACCGCACAAGCUCAUGAUUACAGACCCUGAUGCUAUAGAGUCUCUACUAGAGGAGGGAAUCCUACAAACCCACACUUCUCCUAUGCAAGAUUUGGAAAUCUGGAGUUGUUGUUUUUCCAGAUCCUUGCACAAAGUUUGUUUACCCACUACAUUGAAAUCACUAAAAAUCUGUGACUCUGACAACCUAGGGUUUCUCCUACCUAAGUUGUUCAGAUGCCAUCACCCAUCUCUUGAAGAUCUGCAUAUCGUCAGUGGUCAAAACGAUUUAUCUCUCUCAUCAUCCUUCUCAUUAUCAUUUUCAUUAGCCAUCUUUCCCAGGUUGAUUCAUUUUGGUAUCGAUGCUCUUAACGGUCUUGAAUCCCUCUGCAUCUCGAUUUCAGAAGAGGAACCCACUUCUCUUCGUUCGUUGGAAAUCUUCAGGUGCGAUGAUCUUGAAUUUAUUGAAUUCCCCGCUCUCGACUCGGCAUGCUAUCGGAUCGUGGAAUGCUCGAAGCUCAAGUGGCUGGGACACACACUCUCAUCCUUGCAGAGAUUGAGCUUAGAAGAUUGUCCACAAUUGUUGUUUCACAAAGAUGGUUUGCCCUCCAACCUACGUCAACUUGAAAUUUGUGAAUGCAACCAACUCUCGCCCCAGGUGGACUGGGGUUUGCAGAGACUGGCCUCUCUUACAGAAUUCAAAAUCGGAGGUGGAUGCCAGGACGUGGAGUCAUUUCCCGAGGAGCUCCUGCUGCCCUCCACAAUAACUACUCUUGAAAUUGAACAUUUUCCAAGUCUCAAGUCUCUGGACAGUAGAGGGCUUCAACAGCUUACCUCGCUCAGAAAAUUAUCCAUCCGUCACUGUCCUCAGCUCCAAUUUAUUCCACAGGAGGGUUUUCAACAUUUUCCUUUUCUUUUGGAAUUGGAGAUGGAAGACUGCCCUAAGCUCCAAUCUUUGAAAGAAGCUGGUCUUCCAAGCCUUGCCUCUCUUAAGCAACUAUACAUCAGGGGAUUACCUGAGCUCCAAUCCUUGAUAGAUGUGGGUCUUCAACACCUCACCUCUCUUGAAAAAUUAUUCAUCUCCGACUGUCCUAAGCUUCAAUCCUUGACAAGAGAGAGACUUCCAGAUUCCCUCUCUUUUCUGGACAUCCAGGAUUGUCCUUUGUUGGAACAACGGUGCCAAUUUGAAGAAGGGCAAGAGUGGGAUUAUAUAGCUCACAUUCCACAAAUAUUCAUCUGUGAUGAGGUAUUGUAACAAAGGUUUAGGCAGGUACUUGUUCUACACUAAAAAUUAUUUUCUUCAGAAAAUCUAUGUUCCAAUUCAUUAACUGGCCAAACUUAUGUUUCAAAAUUUCAAAUGAUCUCAAGAAUUGUGCAUCUACAUAUAUAAUCCAUUUGCUAGUCAUGUUGUUGGGGAUUUGAUUUAACCCUUACAAUUGCCAUAUUCUAAUGGUGCACAUUUGUUCAUUUUAAGAUUCUUUGAAACCAGAGACCUGGAACAAUGAUUUGAAGAGGAGCAGGGGAAGAUUGAUCCCAGGUAGUUUACAUUUCUUGCAUACAACCAAUUCUCAUAUAUCCAAAAAUUGUUCAUCUUUCAUGUCGACGUUUCUCACAUUCUCUGCUUGUAAAGGAACAGAGGAAACCAGGCACAUAUUCUAGUUAACUGCUUGUAAGUAAGUAAUUUUACUUGCUUUGGUUUUUCCUUGCUGCUAUUCUCUCUUCCAGUGUUAGAAAGUGGAGAUUUAAGUCUGCAAGAUUUUUUAUUCCAGUGUUGCAAAACAUAUGUUUGGUAUCAAAAUUACUUAAAUUCUUUCUCUUUUUGCGUUCAGAGUCUCAUAAUCAACUCAACUCUUUUGAAGAAUAUUGGUGGAGAUGGAUGGGUUUGUGCCGCAAGCUUUAUUUGUUUGAUUUAAGAAUUUUUCCAACGAAGAUAAGAAGAGUAAAGAAAAAUUGAUCCUAGGUAAUUCAUAUUUUAACCAGCCAAAAAUCAUAUUUCCAUGACUUCUUCAAUUUACCUUUCAAAGUGCAAAGAUGACUCUUAACCAUCUGUGAAAUAUUUUAAUUACUUUGAUCCUUUUGAGGACCUACCAUGGAUUUGUGCUUGUUGAUCUCUUUCCCAUGCUACAAAAUUGGGGAUUUAACUUUUGAUAUAUUUAUCACAGGGUGUCCUAAUCUUGUGUAUAUUCUUGGAGACUAGGGUGCACAACAUGCUCUGUUUGUUUGAUUUAAAAGUUUUUCCUUAAGCUAGUUGUAACAGGAAUAUGAAAAGGAGCAAGGGAAGAUUAACCACAGGUAGGCAACAUUUUGAACAAUUUGAGACCAGAAUCUAAUGUGGUUUUGCGAAUAUUUGUUUGCAUUUUACUUCCAGAAUGUAAAAUUGUGUGUCUAUUUCUCUUACAGAGGCACAGAGGAAAUCAAUAAGAUCUCAAAUUGCAAGAAUUUCAGGUCACUGAUGCAUGUUUUGGUACCUUACUGAGUAUCACAAACUAUUCAUGGCUGAUGUCCCACAUGUAGUAAGAGACGAUCUGGCUUUCUAAUGACGAGGAUUGCACACCAAUUUACAGUCUUCUUUUCUCCAAAUAGCAUUUGAUGUAUGAGUUAGAUUUAUUGUAACUAGUGAAACACAUGAUUGAAAAUUUGUAAUUACUGUGGUAAUUUUUAUUUUUGUUUUUUAAUUAUUUCAGGUUGGUAUAUUGUUUGAGCAGCUCUACAGAUUUGGUUUCUUGAUUAGCAUGAUUGGGUUUGUUUUCCCACGGGCUAAUGCAUUGGGAACCACUUUUGAUUAUCAGUUUCUAAGGGGCUUUGUGUUUCAGGUAUGCAACAACAAAGACACAUACCACCUUCUGCCUCCCAAUACCCUUCACAAGAUUGGUGCAAAACAUGCUCUGUUUCUUUGGUUUAAGAUUUAUUCCGAGGGUAGGAGUCUGGAACAAAAAUAGAAGAAUGGGGGGAGAUUGACUUAGGGUAGCUACUGCUUUAAGCAUACACAACAAGCAAGACAAAUAGUUUUGAUGAAUGUCAUUCUCUUUUACAUUCUGACUAGCCUUUGAUCCAAGAACCCCUUCAGAUCUUGAUUCUCCGUUCAAGGGACUGCAAAACCUUAGUUCUCUUCAAGAAUUGAAUGUCAUUUUCUCAUACUUUUGAUGGAGAAGGAACUUUCCUUGUUUGUUGAUUUUAAGACUUUGAAACUUUGAAACUCCAAACCAGGAACAAAUAUAUGAUCUUAUGAAAUAUGUUUUUUUGCAGAUACCUUUUACAUUCACCACCUUUAUAAAUCCUACUUAUUCAAAGGUAUUUCCUUUUCUUCCCUGCUCAUAUUAUGGAUAUUAUUGCUUUGCUUCCUAUCAACUGAUCCAUUAGUUUUGUCAAGAAAAACAACACCUGUAAUGCUGCAGCUAUCUUCAUGGCUGGUCUUGCUCCUAAAGCUUAAUCUUUUGUAUGUUCAAAGUAAGGAUUUAAUUAUUAUGGCACUUCUUUGAAGUGGAAGGUGGAGUUAGGAAGAUGUAUCUGUUGUAGUGGCUGUGACAUAAUUGCUACUAAAAUUAAGAGAUAUCAUUGUUGAUGAUUCUCUCCUCCAGUCCUCCUUGCUGGGAUCUGCCAAAAUUGACCAGUGGGUGUUCCACUACCAUGCCUUUCCGUGCUAAAUUAUUGAAACAGAAUUGGUCAAAUUUUACAGAGGUGACUCUGUUUUGAUUUGGUAGGCUGCACUUAUUAGGAGUCUCCAUGGCAAAAGGCCCUUGAGAUUUUUUUUUGUUCUGCACCAAGUCAACCAGUUUCAAAAGACAAGCCAGUUUAAGUAUAACAUCUUUGUGGUGUACCUUCUGAACUUUUUUCUGUCCCAAUUUUGAUGCCAUUUUCUUCUUGGGUUGGUCUUUCUUGGGUAUCAACAGUGACUGGGAAUUUUUGACGAAAUGGAGAUUUCUGACUGUCAGCUUCUGUUCUUCUCUGCAAGAACACUUCCAAUUCAGGAAAGGGAGAGACGGCCAUUAUAUAGCUCACAUUCGACACAAGGAGAUAGGCCUAGUGCUGCUCUAAUGAAGGUGGUGGUACAUCGAUAUAUAACCAGGUAUUUGUUCUAUGCUCAAAAUAAAUUUCUUCCAAAAAUAUUUGUUUCACUUAAAGAUUUUUCUCUUAACCCAACAAACUUUGUCCAAGAUAAUUCAUAUUUCAAUACAGCCAGCUUUCGUAUCUCUGUUUUUAUUUAGCAGAUUGCACUCGCUGGGAGUUCCUGUAGCAAAAGGUUGUGGUAACGCUUUAUUCUACUACCUAAAAAAGUGGACCACUUACCAAAGGCAGGGGGAUAAAAUUCUAACAUCUUUGUUCUAUAGUUGCCACUCAUUUCUUUCCAAAUUUUGAUGUCAUUUUGUUAUUGUUUUCGUUCUGGUGUUUGUUAGGUCUUGAUUGUUGGGGGAGUAUGUGAAGAUGUUCUAUUGUGUUGGGGUUACGGUCUUAGAAUUGAGAACCUUCUUGUGCUUCUAUCGGUGACCAUGGGCAUUGGUUCUCAUUGUUUGUAUGGACAAGAGUCAAUUGUAUAUCUGUAGAGAAAUAAUGUCUAAAGUUUUAAUGAAGGUUUACUCCAUGAGACUUGCAAGAAGAAUAUUGUAAUUAAAUUGAUCAACCUAUGAGACUUUUGGUAGUUCUGUUUGCUAUUUUGAUGUCGGUAUCAUCUUGAAGUGGUUCAGUGCAGUUUCCUCAUUAAACUUUAUGAUUUUAUAUGGAAAAGAUGAUUUUGAGCUUAUUCAUUGUCUUCAUGCAUUGUUCUUGAUUGUGACCAGAAAUUUAAUAUAUGUCUACUGCUGUGGAGAUGAUUAUUUAGAUCACUCAUGGAUCCCAUUCUCAACAGGAUUAUCUUCCUCAUCAAUUCUCUUCAUGCAUAAAAAAAUUUACUCCUAUUUUAUAUCAUCAAACUUCUUCAAGCCUAUUCUUUCAGUUUUUCUAAUUAUAAAGCAUUAUAAAAUUAGGUUGUGUACCAUCAAAAGCCCUUUUGAUUUACCAUUUUAGGGUUUUGAUUCUAUUGGAUUUGUUGUCAGCCCUAGCAAGUUCCUGUUUUAAAAUUUAAUCUGUAAUGUUAAGCCCUUUAAAAAGUGACAUUAUAAGUAUCAUUUUCCAUGGAAUAAUUCCUUAGAAAGUUCAUGGCAGAAUUUGAGUCCCAAUUUUCUUCAUGACAAAUAUGAGAACUCUGAAAGCCAUCUCUUCCCUAAACCAUUCCUGAUAAUCAAUUUUGAGAGUCAUAAAACUGUUUCAUCGAUGACAGCAGCUAAAUAUCAGGAAUUGCAGAGCCUCAACUCUCUUGAAGAAUUGUGUAUGUACAAAUACCAUUGCUCAUACUGUUAUUGGAACUAAGAGAGCAAAGCAUGCCCUAUUUUUGUUGGAUUUAAGAGUUUUAAUUUUCCUAAGAUAGAUACUUGGAAGCUGGAACAAGGAUAUGAAAGAGAUCAAGAAGAGAUUGAGCACAGGUUGGCCAAAAUGUUAAGCAUACAUAUUCAUUCAAAAACAUCCUUUGAGCAAUUUGAGAAUACCCACCAAUUCUCAAUUUUCUAUGACUUGUUUCCACUUCCAUAACAUCAAUGUCUGAACUUAUCUAUCUUACAGAGGCACAGAGAAAAUCAAUGAGAUCUGUAAUUGCAGAAUCACAGUUCAAUGAUACAUGUUGAGGCCUCGCGUCCCUGGUGAUCCACGUAGUUGCCAAAUGGGUGGACGCACGAUCUCAACCAAUAUAAGUUCUUGAUUCAGUCGGCCUACCUGCAAAAGGCAUCCGAACAGGGUGUCCGGACGCACCCUCCGAUGGUUUUGUCAACCAUGGUUAGAGAGAGAUAAAUCAGUUGGCCUUUUACUAGGUAUCAAAAGCUUACCUUCCUCUUUGUGUGAAGGCUUAUAUAUAUUGUUCCAGAAGCACUGUUUCCCUCUUUAAUGGUAGGGAGAUAUUUUGUGUUGUCAUGAUGACAUUAGGUGGCGGCAGGGCUAUCAUCACCCUACGGGCGGCUGAUAGAGAUCGUGGUAAGUGAUGCAGCUAUCAGAGAUCGUGGUAGGCGAUCAUGUGAAGUGAUCGUGAGAAGUGACUUGUUGUCACUUCAUCUUGUCCUUUCACUCUACAGGUGGCAGAACGUGGGCUAUGACAGGCUGUUGUGAUAACGUGUAAGACUUGCUUAUUUCAGUCAAUGAUCCGGACAAUCAUAUCCGGAUGGCCUAUGUUGGUCAUCCAGAUGUAUUGCGGAAGUCGUCCGGAUGUUAUGCUUAUUAGUGUCGUGUGCCUCUCCUUGAGGUAGUCCGGAUAGGAGAAGCGCGCCACGUGUACUCUUAGGGAAAUCCGAAUGAGGGUGAUCCGGAUGAUAAUGCGUGCCACAUGUCACCAUGAGGUGUGUGGCACGUGUUCUUAGGAGGAGGGGCCCCUACAAUGCCCCCCUUUUUAACUUGCCUAUUUUGCCCGAGCAAAAAAUGGGCGGGUUAAAAAAAUAAUUGGUUUUUUGAAACUGAAGUCGUCCUUUUUGUUUGUUUGGGCCACGUGGCGAGCGGGGGUGAGGAAGCCAAAAAAGCAUUUAUGAUGGGCCGCCGACUCUGGGUAUUCCCAAGCAGCAUGUCGUUUCAAUGAUGGCGCAACUGUGCGUUUGGUUUUCCGAGGGGCUGUCUCCCUAUAAAUAGCAUACUGUGUCUUCUGUUACAUUUUUCCUACUGCGUUUUUUUUCUGUCAGUGCUGCUUCUUCUUCCUUCUGUGCUUUCCUUUGUUUUUCUGAGUGAAGCCCUAGAAUUUUUCUGCCGGUGAUUUUUGCGUUCUUGCCGGUGACUGUACUGCGGAUUUCAACCCUACUCCUCCAGACUUACACUUGGUACGUGCAUUUGUUCUUGUCUUUUCCUUUGCUGCGUUUGGCUUUGUUGGUUUUGUUUCUGAUUUGUUUGGGUAAGUUGCUUGCGACUGUGUGUGUGAAUGUUGGUAUUUUUUGGUUUCUAGGGUUUUUUGAGGGUGUUUUUUACUGCUGGUACCUCUUUCGUGCAGCUUUACGAAACGAGAAGAUGUCUGCGAACCAGGAAGUGACUUCACCUAGCCCAUGCGGUGCUGCUCAUGCCAAAAAAUCUGUUGACAAAUUGAGCGUGAAGGAGUUCCAUGAGCGAUUUUGUAUUCCCAACGGUGUUUCUAUUGAAUUGACCGACGAGGAGGCUGUAUCGACUGAAAACAGUGAAGACCACGCUAUAUUUUUCAGCAAGGAGCAAUUCAACGCUGGGCUCCGGUUCCCCCUUCCGUCGCUGUUCAAGGAAUUCCUGCAUUUCACCCAGAUUCCCCCGGUGUAUAUUCAUCCGAAUAUGGUCCGAGUGUUGAUGGGAUGUAGCAUCCUGAAUAUGUUGUUUAACUUGGACCUCACUCUACUGGAUGUGUUGUUCAUCUACUCGAUCAAGAAGCUAAAGACUGAUAUCUUCAGCUUUGUUGCAUGCCUGCCGUCCAUGUAGUUGGUGACUAGUCUGCCGGACUCCACCAAGGGGGGUGCCAAGGGUCAUGUACUGGUCAAGGACGUAUGGGCAGGUUUGGCGGUUCAUCCGAACAGACCAUUCACCCCCAAUCAGUCGUUGAAAGUCCCAGGUAUUGAGAUGGUUGUGUUAAAGUAAGAAUUCACAUUGUAACUAUGUGAAUGGACUUUUUUGACAUCUAAGCUAGCUACUUUUGUUCUCUCUCCUUUUUCCUUUUUGAAUUCUCUCUUCUUUUAUGAAAAGUCCUCAAGUUGAAAAAGAGUCUUGUUACUCCUAUCUUUCUACAUUGUUAUUAUUUUCCAUUAAAAUGAACCACCAAAUAAAGUUAUAAUUUCAAAUCCACCUACGAUCCGUUUAUUUUAUUUUAUAAAUAAAUUUAAGUAUAAAAGACAAAACUAUUAUAAUGUAUGAAUAAAUAAAAGUGAUUGAUUUAGUCAUAUGACCAAUAUCAAAUAUUUGCUUUUGAUAUCAUUGUAAAAUCUUAUCAUUCAUUAACCAUCAAUGUAAAUAAUAGUUUUUCUUCAUCCCUUAAUCACUUUCCCUCAAAAUUUGUAGGACUUUUUUACAUCUAACACUUUUAUAUAUAUAUAUAUAUAUAUAUAUAUAUAUAUAUAUAUAUAUAUAUAUAUUUCCUUUUUUGAAUUCUUUCACUUCUUUUAUGAAAAGUCGAUGUACCUAGAAUAUUAGGUUGAAAAAUGAGUUAUGACAUGCCUAUCUUUCCUCAUUGUUCUAAUUUUUCAUAGAAAUGAUCCAACAAUUAAGUUGAAAUUUCAUUGGAAGAUGAUGGAUGGUGGCCAAUUGGUCAUGGCCAUGGAGUUGGUAUUAGUGGUCCUCUUAUGAUGUUCUCUAGGUAAAGUCAAAUAAUCUCAUUAUUCAAGACAACGAGCUUUGUCUUCUAUGGAAAAAAGAUAAUUAGGAGAGUUUGUCUUAGAACUAUAUAUCUAAGUAAAACAAGUCGCUAACAUGAUAUGGACAAAACUCCAAAUUUCAUCUAAGUAAUUCAUAUCCACAUAUAAUUCGAGGAACAAUUUAAUCUCCACCUCUUAGUAAAACUUUUUUAAAAUAAAAAUUAAUUUGUAAUCAUGUUAAGAACUCUAGUGGAUCUAAGUAAGAGUAUUUCUAAAAGUAGUGACACCAUCUAGAGGAGAAGAGUCUACUAAGUUUUUGGUUGCACCUAUCUCAAUUCAAUUCAAAAUGUUGUGGAUUAUUGAAAAUGAGUUUAUAAAAGAAAAUGAAAAUCUACUCAAAAAAUUUGAAUACUAAGAGUCUAAAUUCCAAGAAAUUUAUCUAAUGUGAAAUAAUUUUACUUUUGGAUGACAACCUAUGUUCUCUUUUUACUUUUUUUUUUUUGGCUUGUCAAACUAAAUUCUUAUUUUUUUGGCAAAUAGAAUGAGAUGGUUGGGUCUAUCAUAAUGUCAGGUCAAUCAUUCCAAUAAUGGAAUCAAUUUCUUAUGUUUAAGCACUCUAGAUUUACCACAGUGCAUGUCCAGUUAAUUAUUCAAGUAAGUGGAUCCAAACUUCUCUUUUUAAUAUCAUUCAUUACAAGCCACAAGAUUUAUAUGUUGAGCUUAUCUUAAUGUUAAAUUAGAUGCUGGUUCAAGCCAUGGAAUUUGAACUUCUCUUCACAACAAUCUUACUUAAUUUCGUUAAUUUUGAAGAAAUUGCUUUUUAAAUGGAAAAGGAUUGCCAUAAAAUUCUUUAUUGUGAUGAUUAAUUUAUCAUUUACAUCUAUACUUACCUAAUCUCAAUCCAUUUAAUUAUUUCAUUUAAUUUGAAAUUGGCUAUGUAAGUCAUGGUAAACUUUCGAAAUGCAAGUUUUUCAUGGAUGGAAGCAUAUAAAAAAAUUGAAUAUUAUUGUAUAGGAUGAUAUACAUUAUUAAUAUUAUAAAAAUAUCAAAUCAAAUUCGGUUAUACUUGAAUUGUUUGAACCUUGGUUCAACUCCAACUCAAAUUUAGUUCAGGUGGAAAAACUUAACCCUUGCCUAAUUAAGUGUUGAAAAUGAUUGUGCAAAUCCACCGAAAUAUUGGGUGGGAUCAAGUAUCCCAUUCAAAUUGCACCCUAAUGCUAAGGACCGUAUUUCCCUUUCUUUCUUUCUAUAUUCUUGAGGGGACUCUUUUACAUCUAGUUACUCUUUGACAUCUAGCUACUUUUUUUUUCACUUUUGUGAAAAGCUAAUGUCCAUGGACCCUUAGGUUGAAAAAUGAGUUAUAUAUAACUUGCCUAUCUUUCCACAUUGUUGUUUUCUCAAUAGAAUUCAAAUCGACAUCCUUUUACAACAGAAUGAUGGGGAGUGAUCCUUUGGAUGUGAUGAUACAAAUUUGAUUUGGUUGUACAUUAUUUGGGAGAAACAAAGUCAUGUAAAUUUAUUCAUAUGUUAUAUGGGUGUAUUUGGGCAAAGUACAUUGAUAAGUUCUCAGUUGACAUUUAUUUAACACUGACUGUUGUCGCCUCGCGUAUCCGGUGAUCCACGUUGCUGCUAGAGGGAUGGACACGUGAUUCUCAACACACAAGGGGUUCUUGAUUCAGCGAUUGCACCUGCAAAAGGCAUCCAGACAGGGUGUCCGGACGCACCCUCCGAUGGUUUUGUUAGCCAUGGUGAAAGAGAGAUAUAUAAAUCAGUUGGCCUUUUACUAGGUAUCAAGAGGUUACCAGGGGAUCAGCCUUUUCUUCUUCGUGUGAAGUCAUAUAUAUACAGCUUCAGGGGUACUGCUCCUUUCAUUAAUGGUGAGAAGAUAUUUUAUGUUGUGAUGAUGAUAAUAGGUGUCAGUAGGAGCACUAUCAUCCUACGAACGGUUGUCAGAGACCAUGGUAGGUGAUGCGGCUGUCAGAGAUCGUGGGAAGCGAUUAUGUAGAAUGAUCGUGGGAAGUGACUUGCUGUCACUUCCUCUUGUCUUCUCAUUCUGCAGGUGAUGGGAUGUGGGCCAUGGCUGCUUGUUGUGAUUGCGUGUAAGACUCGCUUUACUUUAAUUGACCAUCCAGACGAUUUAUAUCCGGAUGGAUCAUGCUGAUUAUCCGGAUGUGUUGUGGAGACUAUCCGGGUGUCUACGCUCUGCCAGCGUCGUUUGCUCUUCCUUGGAUAGGAGAAGCUGAAACGUCGUUUGUCUUUCCUUGAGGGGUUCCGGAUAGGAUAGCCGCACCAUGCAUAUCUUUAGGGGAAUCCGGAUGAUGAUGGUCCGGCUGAUAACACGUGCCACGCGUCACCAUGAGCUGCGUGCCACGUGUUUCCCAAGGGAAGGGGUCCCUACAUUGCCCCCCUUUUUAACUUGCCUAUUUUGCCCAAAAAAUGGGCGGGUUAAAAAUAACUGGGUUUUUGAAAAUUGAAAAAGUCCAUUCGUCUAACUUGGCCACGUGGCGAGUGGGGGUGCGGAAGCCAAAAAAGGCAUUUAUGGCGAGCCGCCGACCCUGUGUAUCCCCAGGCAAUAUGUCGUUUCAAUGAUAACAUGGUUGUUGGUUUGCCUUUCCGAGAGGCUGUCCUGCUAUAAAUAGGGUACUGUACCUCUUUUUGCAAUUUUUCCUACUGCAUUCUCUUGAGAGCCUUUCUUCUUACUGCUUUUUCCUGCGUCCUUUGCUUCUCUGAGACAAACUUCGAAAGCUCUUUUGUACCGGUGCUUUUGUAUCGCGACUUUGUUUGUUUGCUGCUGGUGAUUUUGUAUCAAGGCAGUACCCGUUCUUCUUCUUCGGUGCUUUAUUUGGUACGUACCUCUUUGCUACUGCCAUUCCUUUGGUUGCAUUUGCUGGCUCUUUAAAUUUGUUUUCUGGCUUGCUUGGGCGUUGUUUUGGACGAGUCGUUUGCAAUUGUUGUUGAAUGUUGGUACUUUGUUGUUGUUUGGAGGGGUUUUUGAGGGGUUUUUCUGACUGUUUUGGGUUAGGGUUUGUGUAUUUUCUGACUGCUUGGUUUGAUUCGCUGUAUUGCUUUUGUAUGUAGAUUUUGAUUUAGCUUUGUGGUAAAAAAUGGCUCCAAAAAAGGCUGUUUCAUCUGUCCAGGUUAGCGAAGCUAGCGAAAAGGCGAUAGACAAAUUAAAUGCGAAGGAGUUCCGGGAGCGAUUCCGCAUCCCCCAUGACGUAUUGAUAGACUUGGUGAACGAGGAGGCGGCUAUGCCUACUGAGAAAGGUGGAAAAAACGUUAUCCUCUUCACAAAGGAACAAUUCAACGCGGGGCUCUGGUUCCCUCUGCCGGCGUUGUUCAAGGAAUUCCUCCACUUCUCUCAGAUUCCACCCAUCUUCAUUCAUCCCAACCUUGUCCGGGUGCUGAUGGGAUGCAACAUCAUCAACAUGCUGUACAGCCUCGACCUUACGCUACUGGAAUUGUUCUUUGUCUAUUCCCUGAAGAAAGCAAAGAAUGAUAUCUUCAGUGUGUCUGCUCACCUGCCCUCCCUUCAAAUGGUGACAGAACUGCCAGAUUCGACAAAGGGAGGGGCGAAGGGGCUGGUGGCAGUCUGGGGUGGAUGGGCGGGGCUAUCGCAGCAUCCGUCGAGGCCUUUUUCUCCGAAUUAUACCUUAAAAAUUCCGGGUAAUCUUGUUUUGUCAUUUUUUGUCCGGAUUUUGCUUUGCUGAUUUUUUCUGAUUUUUCCGGACGGAAUUCUCACCUUUUGUUGCUGACAAUGCAAGUUUGGAAUUGAGGGGCCACCUUGUGGAUUGGGUGGAAAAGGCGUCCUUUGCCUGCGUCUGCAAAUUAUUCGAAAUAGAUCCCAAGGAGAGGGCCUACAAAACAUUGCUUUCCGCGCGGAAUUUGAUAGAGGUCGUCCGGGAGCCCCAGGAAUAUGUUAUCAAUAUUCUUCCUAGGAAACUGGCAAAGGAUGAGAUAGUGCUUGGGGAGCAUUAUACUGUGAAGGAGCUCCCCCUCUAUCAGGAAGCUAAAGAGGCUGACGCUGAAAGGCGGCGAAAGCUCCUGGAGGAUAGAGAUCAGAAAAAAACUGAAGGCACUAUCCGGAAGGCUCUCGGACAGAAGGGGGGUCCGGACCCUCCUUCAAAGAAAAUUCCAGGAAAGAGGGGGAAGCUAGUGAAGAAGCAUGGGAAGGAUGUGAAGGAACCCACUCCUCCCAAGGAGUUUCCUCCUCCACAAACUACCUAUGAGGGGGAAGUAAUGAUAGAGGAGCCAGUAAAUGCUGCUCCGCACUCUAUCUCAAGCGGCCCCGGACGCAUGUCGGGGUUGAAUCACUCAGGUCCUUCCUUAGUCUCGACUGCGCGUCUGGCUAACGUGGCUGAGGAAGCUGCAUCUAUCAACCAUCCGGGCGACCUUAAUCCGGAUGCUGAUGCAGCUGAAACGGCCCCGUUGGAGGAAGCGGGGGCAGAAAGCCAAAGUCAGCCUUCCGACGACCCGGAUCGCUUGGCCAUAGUCCUGGUGAAAGGGCCUCCCCUCAAGAAGCCGCGUUUGACGCGCGAUCUACAGUCCGGACUCUUUGAGCGGCUUUAAGAGCGGCAGCAAGAGAUUGAAAUUAGCUGCGCUUCUGCCCAUGACGCUCAUCCGGAUGGAGGCGAGGUGGAGAUGGCUACUGAGACCUCAGCCGCUCCGACAAUAAUUCCGGCUGAGGAUGCAUCCGGACCUAUGUGUCCGGACGAAGAUAUGGGGGUUCCGAUUCCGGGACAAGAGUUACCAUCUCCUUCCUCACCUGAGGAGGAAUCUGCUGACGAUGCCGCUCCCGCUAGCCCUUUCAGCUACGCGGAGUUGGAAGUUAAGUUAAAGCAGAUUACACCUGAUUGGAGAGCCAUCAAGCCCUCUGCUCAGAUGUUUGAUAUGAUAGAAACGGUAUAUCGUUGUCUUGUGUUUUUGCUUUUUGACUUUUUGUUGCACUGAUGUGUUUGUUGUAGUAUGAUUUAUGUCUUUGCUUUUCUUGUUUGUGUGUCAGCUGGUGAGGGGCCUCCGCAGCAUGUCUCAACAACACGAUCUUUUUAUUCAGCUGCUGCAGACUGCAGACUAUAUGAGGACCUUCUCCUCUCGGCGCCAAGAGAUUGAAAAUCAACUGCGUCUGAGAAUGGAGGAGGCUGAGGCCAGUCUAUCCACCAUGCGAGAGGAAAAUGAAGCCCUCCGGGUGGAGUUGGCUGAGGCAAAGGGUCGAGAAGAAUCAACUGCGGGCCGCCUUCAUGAGGCGGAGGGUGAGGCAGCCCGGCUAAGGGAUGAAUUGAGUCAACUCCGGACAGAAGUUUUGAAUGAAAAGAAACAGAAGGAAGACUUGCAGCUGCGCCUGGAUGUGCAAAAAGAGGAACUUGAACGGGAGUUUGCUGUGGAAAGAGAGGAACUUGCAGCGGAUUACCAGCAACAAGUGGAUGAUACGUUUAUCUUUGGGUAUCGCUGCUGCAUGAAGAAGAACGGCAUUAAGCGAGAUACCCCUACAAUUCCUCCGGGUGAAGAAAAGAAGCUCCAUGAGAAGCCUGCUCCCUGAUAGUUUAUCUCUUUUUGCAAUUUUUCUGCUGUAAUUUUUCCUUCUGUAUUUUUUUUGUGGUCCGGAGAUCUCUUUGUAAUUACAUUUACUCAUAUCAAUAAAACAUACUUCUUUCUCAUUUGCACUUGUGUAUACUUUCUACUGAUAGUACUGCUUUAAAUUGGACACAUUCCAUGGUCUGAGUAACGGAGUGCCAUCUAGCUUUUGUAAAUGAUAGGCUCCAUUUUCGUUUGCCUUAGACACUAUGUAGGGUCCUUCCCAAUUGGCUUGGAACUUUCCCGCGCCUACUUCAGCAGUAUUUUCAAAAACUUUUCUAAGUACUAGCGUACCAUUUUUGAAGUUUCUGGGCCUGACUUUUCGAUUGUAAUGCGCUGAUGCCCUUUGUUGAUAAUCUGCCAUCCGGAUGGACGCGCUUUCUCUGACUUCGUCUGCCCAGUCCAAAUUUCUUCCUAGUUCCGUGUUGGCGUCUUUUUGCUUUGCUGCAUCAGUCCGGAUAGUAGGAAGACCUAUUUCAGUGGGAAUGACUGCAUCCAUUCCAUAUGUGAGGGCAAAAGGAGUAUUUCCUGUUGGUCGUCCGGGUGUGGUUCGAUAGGCCCACAGGACGCCGGGUAGCUCCUCCACCCACUUCCCUUUGGCUUGCUCCAGCCUUUUCUUCAAGGCAUUGAUUAGAGUUUUGUUUGUGGCUUCCGCCUGGCCAUUGCUUUGAGGAUAACGUGGCGUGGAGUAUGAAUUCCGGAUAUUCAAUUCCGAACAGAAAUUCCUGAAUGCAAUGCUGUCAAAUUGUGGACCAUUGUCAGCUAUGAUGAUUUGGGGAAUUCCAAAGCGGCAAACAAUGUUCUUCCAUACGAAUUUGGUGACAUCUUUAUCUUUGAUGCUUGCAUAUGCUUCAGCUUCUACCCAUUUACUGAAGUAAUCAGUGGCGACAAGGAGGAAUUUCUUCUGGGCGGGUGCUGCUAGGAGGGGUCCCACUAUGUCCAUGCCCCACUGCGCGAAAGGCCAUGGGCCUGAGACCGAUUUUAAUGCGGCUGAUGGCAUGCGCGGAAUGGGAGCGUAUCUUUGACAUUUAUUACACUUUUGAACAUAUGCUGCCGCGUCUUUCUUCAUUAUUGGCCAAUAGUACCCCUGUGAAUGAGCUCUAUGUGCUAGGGAUCGUCCUCCCGUAUGAUUUCCGCAUAUUCCUUCAUGUAAUUCAGCUAGCACAUACUGGGCCUCUGAAUGCCCAAGACAGCGAAGAUAAGGCCCUAUGAAAGAUCGCUUGUACAGGUGCCCCCCGAUCAGGGUGAAGCGGGCAGCCUGCACCCGGAUUUUGUGUGCUUGUUUAAGAUCUUUGGGUAAAGUGCCUGUCCGGAGAUAUUCUGCAAUAUCAUGCGUCCAUUCUUGAUUAUCCGUUUGGGUUGCCUCAACGGUGUUGCAAGUGGAAUUUUCUGCGACAAAGGGAUUGGCUUGCACAUGUAUGGGCAAUAGAAUGACUUCUUUGAUAGGUAGAGAGGCAGCUAUGCCGGCCAAAGCGUCAGCGUGCCUAUUGUCAGCUCGCUUAAUUUUUUCGAUUGUCCACUCGGUGAAUUGCUGUAAGGUGCUUCUUACUUUGGCCAAGUAUCGCGCCAUGCGUGAGUCCUUAGCCUCAUAUUCUUUCUGGACGUGCCUUACCACUAGUUGCGAGUCGCUGUAGAUCCGGAGUUUGGAGACGGAUAGAGCAAGGGCGAGGUCCAAUCCGAACAGGAUGGCCUCGUAUUCUGCUUCAUUGUUAGACGCGGAGAAUCCCAGCCGGAUGGCUUGCUCCAGAUGUUCCCCAGUUGGGGACUGUAAUAAGAGCCCAACUCCAGAGCCUGAUGAGCGUGAGGCUCCGUCAACUCGUAGUGUCCACCACUCCUGUUCACUUGAUUCGUGGUGCUGGUUGGGUCUUCGUGAAUAUUCGAGCACAAAGUCGACCAUUACUUGGCCUUUUUUGGAUAAUCUGGGUUGGAAUUCGAUUCCAAAUUCGCUCAAUUCGAUGGCCCAUUGUAGCAUUCGCCCGGUUAAAUCUGGUUUGUGCAGAAUGCUACGAAGGGGUUGGUCGGUCAAUACAAUCACUGGGUGGGCUUGAAAAUAGGGGCGGAGCUUUUGGGCAGCACUUCGAAGAGUUAAGGCUGUUAGCUCCAUUUUUGAAUACCUGGUUUCUACAUCUGCCAAUGCCCUGCUGACAUAGUAGACAGGUUUCUGCUCCUUUGGUGAAGGGCAGCGGAAUAGAACGGCGUUGAUUGCCCAUUCUGAGACAGCUAGAUACAUGUAUAGCUUCUCCUUUGGGAUGAGGCUGCUCAAGAUGGGUGGAUGCAUAAGACAAUGUUUAAUUCUUUCCAACGCGUUUUGGCAAUUGUCCGUCCACCCCUGCGUUCCAGCUUUUCGUAUUGCCAAGAAGAAGGGUCGCAACUCAUCAGUGAAGCGGGCUAUGAAACGUCCUAACGCAACGAGCUUGCCUAUGAGGCGUUGUAACUCCUUUUUGUUCCUGAGAGGAGGUGUCUCCAUGACUGCUUUGACCUGAUCCGGGCUGACUUCUAUGCCUCUUUGGCUGACCAUAAAUCCCAGAAAUUUGCCAGCACUCACGCCAAAGGCACAUUUGGAAGGAUUUAGCUUCAUGCCAUACUUUCGCAAGAGAUAAAAAACUUCUUGUAAAUGGAGGAUAUGCUGCUCUCGCGUUUUGCUUUUAACUACGAUAUCGUCAAUGUAUACUUCGACCGAGCGGCCUAUCAGAGGUUUGAAGAUUUUAGUCAUCAAUCUUUGAUACGUGGCGCCAGCGUUCUUGAGUCCGAAUGGCAUGACUUUGUAGCAAUAGAGGCCGUGUGGCGUUAUGAAUGCUGUUUUUUCUUCGUCAUCCGGGGACAUGGGGAUUUGAUGAUAUCCGGAGAAGGCAUCCAAGAAAGAGAGCAUCCCCUGUCCGGAAGUGGAAUCCACAAUCUGAUCUAUUCGUGGUAAGGGGAAACUAUCUUUUGGACAUGCACUGUUGAGAUUGGUGUAAUCUACACAAACUCGCCAUUUUCCUUCUUUUUUGGGUACCACGACUACGUUUGCCAGCCAAUCCGGAUACGAAACUUCUCUGAUGAAUCCGGCUUCGAGCAAUUUAUCAAUCUCGUUCCGGAUGAUUCUUUGUCUAUCCGGGUGGAAGCGCCUAAUCCUCUGCCGGACGGGUCUGGUAGUUGAAAAGACGUUAAGCCUGUGAGAUGCAAUGGAGGGAUGAAUUCCCUUCAUGUCAGAAUGUGCCCACGCGAAGAUGUCAUGGUUCUGUCUGAGGACUUUUUGCAUGCCGCGAGUUUCUUCUUGUGUCAUGAGGGAACUGAUGUUUGUGAGGUGAUCACUUUCCUCCGAAAUUUGGAUUGUCUGUAAGGGAUCUGCUACCGGGGGAUCUUUGUCCGCCGGAUCCAAUAAUUGCUAUUGGUCGUGCGCAAUGCUAGGUUCAGGGGGAGAUGCAUCCUCCUGGUUAGCGACUGCCUCGCGUGCUAUUUGAUAGCACUGGCGAGCGGCUAAUUGGCUGCCAUACAAGUCGGUUUGCCCUUCGUUGGUGAGGAAACUCACCAUUUGAUGAUAUGUGGAAGGGAUGGCUUUCAUGUAGUGGAGCCAUGUGCGUCCCAAGAUGACAUUGAAGGGUGAUAACUCUUGUACCACCGAGAAUUGUACGUUGAGAGUGACUGGACCAGCUUGGACCGGCAGUAUAAUGUCUCCUAUGGAUGUGGUUGAUGACCCAUUGAAUCCGGAUAAGAUUCGUCCGGGGUUUUCGAGACCCGCGAGACUAUGUCCCAUAUGGCCAACGACUGAUGCUUGCACCAGAUCGGCUGAACUGCCUGGGUCGACCAAGAUACGUCUUACAUCAAACUCUCCUAUUUCUAGGGAGAGGAUGAGGGCGUCGCGAUGUGGCUGUAGCGUCCGGGUGGGAUCUGCUGGUGGGAAAAUGAUUGUCCCAUCUAUGGGGCGAGGGCCCUCUCCAGUAAGACCCGGCCGGAUGGAAUUAAUGCGUUCGCGUAUUGACGCGGCUCGCAGCAAUUUCUGCUUUUUCCUUCUGGAAUCAUAUUCCUCGUCAGAUGGGCCCCCGUUGAUAUAGUUUAUGACAGCCUUGGGGGCGAUUGGGGCACUCGGGGCCCCAGAGUUACGAUGUUGAGAUACGUCUCUUCCUCCAGUAUCUGAGCGGAUGUACUGUUUUAAAUGUCCUGCUUUGAUGAGCCUUUCAACUAGAUACUGGAGGGACCGACAUGUCUCUGUUGUAUGACCAUGGUCUUUGUGAAAGGCGCAUUUCUUGCUGCGGUCUCUUAUGGAUGGGUCCGUUUCGAGGGGUCUAGGCCACCUGAAGUCGGACAACCCUUGGAUCAUUGGGAGAAGCUUUUCGUAUGAUAUGGAUAGGGGUGUGAUGGGCGGCCUAUCCGGACGACUCGGCCCGUCCUGCCUCCGGUCAACUGGUUUUGGCCGGUCCGGAGGUUUGGCAUGUUUGUCCGUGUUAUCUCUAGAAGCCCGUCCGGCAACCAAAACUUGCUGGGUGGCUGCACGUACGUCAUCUUCGAGCAUUGAAUAUUUGUUAGCACGUCUGAACAAAUCGUCCAUCGUUGUAGGAGGCUUUUUGGCCAGCGAUUCAAAAAAUGGAGUGCCUGGACAGAUGCUUCUUUUGAAGAUCUGUAGGAUAGCAUCCAUGCUGCAAACCUCUAUUUGGAGUACGGCUUGGCCAAAUCGUUUCACAAAUUCGCUCAAGGAUUCGUUGUCUCUCAUUUUUAUGUUCUGGAGGGUGCUGAUAUUCUGCUUGUGUCGAGCAGAGCACAAGUACUGUCCCACGAAUGCUUCAGAGAGGUCCCUGAAAUUGUCAACAGAGUUAGGAGGUAGGCGAUGAAACCAUGAGAGGGCCUGCCCUUGAAGGCUGGCGGGGAAUACUUUGCAUAGCAAUGCAUCGUUGCCAAUAUCGAGCGUCAUGAGCUGUCGAUAGUGCAUGAUGUGAUCGAAGGGAUCGUUGGUCCCAUCGUAUGUGGAAAACUUUGGUACGAGGAAUCCCCUUGGGGGCUCGUAAUGGGUGAUAUGAGAGCAAAAGGGCAUGGAGAGCAUGUCAUCCAGCCUUUUGCUGAUGGAGCCAAUGGGUGGCUCGUUUGGGAGGUUUCUCCCAGCUGGUCGUUCCGCUAGGUGUGAGUGAACGUUCCGCAUCGCUGGGGUGACCAUGGGGUCACGAUGCGGAGGUACGUUCUGCACCAUGGGAGCGAUCAUAGGAUCGGGGCGUGGUGCCCGGGUUGUGGCUACUGGUGGCCUUGAUCUCCCAGGCUCUUGUGGGCCUAGUCUUGCGCGCAUAGAACUUGACAACUGUGAUUUUCUAUCACGUUGUCUUUUUGCUGAAAAAUGAGUGGAAUCUGAGCUUUCCUCACGGGGAGCUCGAGGCAUGGGCGUGCGUGGCUCAUGGGGCCUUGCGUUGUAUGCUCUUGGGGCAGCUCCUGUUGACCCAGGAUAUAUCGAUUCUGGCUCUGGCCUUGAAUUUGCCACCUGGCCUCUUGAAUGUUGACGACGAGGAGGACCUAACGUUGAGGCUUGAAUGCGUAACACAGCGUUUUCUUCCCUUAACCUCUCCGUCUCCUGGAGGAGAGCUCUUAGUUGUUUUUCGCUCGCCAACUGUCUUUUUUCGAUGGCUUGACGCCAUUCGUAAUUAUCUUCCUCCUUUCUACCAGAUGAUCGACUUUGGGAAGGUGUGGCCAUCUUUGCUAGUGACUGAAUCAGAAUAAAAAGUAAAAGUUUCCCACAGACGGCGCCAAUGUUGUCGCCUCGCGUAUCCGGUGAUCCACAUUGCUGCUAGAGGGAUGGACACGUGAUUCUCAACACACAAGGGGUUCUUGAUUUAGCGAUUGCACCUGCAAAAGGCAUCCGGACAGGGUGUCCGGACGCACCCUCCGAUGGUUUUGUUAGCCAUGGUGAAAGAGAGAUAUAUAAAUCAGUUGGCCUUUUACUAGGUAUCAAGAGGUUACCAGGGGAUCAGCCUUUUCUUCUUCGUGUGAAGUCAUAUAUAUACAGCUUCAGGGGUACUGCUCCUUUCAUUAAUGGUGAGAAGAUAUUUUAUGUUGUGAUGAUGAUAAUAGGUGUCAGUAGGAGCACUAUCAUCCUACGAACGGUUGUCAGAGACCAUGGUAGGUGAUGCGGCUGUCAGAGAUCGUGGGAAGCGAUUAUGUAGAAUGAUCGUGGGAAGUGACUUGCUGUCACUUCCUCUUGUCUUCUCAUUCUGCAGGUGAUGGGAUGUGGGCCAUGGCUGCUUGUUGUGAUUGCGUGUAAGACUCGCUUUACUUUAAUUGACUAUCCAGACGAUUUAUAUCCGGAUGGAUCAUGCUGAUUAUCCGGAUGUGUUGUGGAGACUAUCCGGGUGUCUACGCUCUGCCAGCGUCGUUUGCUCUUCCUUGGAUAGGAGAAGCUGAAACGUCGUUUGUCUUUCCUUGAGGGGUUCCGGAUAGGAUAGCCGCACCAUGCAUAUCUUUAGGGGAAUCCGGAUGAUGAUGGUCCGGCUGAUAACACGUGCCAAGCGUCACCAUGAGCUGCGUGCCACGUGUUUCCCAAGGGAAGGGGUCCCUACACUGACCACUAUGGGAUGGUGAGGGCUUUCGACUGUUUUUGGACACAAUGAUAACAAUAAUCAAGUUGUAUAACAAUUGUAUGUAGUAUAUUAGUUCCUCGGUUGUGAGAACUUGGAGAAUAUGGAACACGAUGUUAGCGCUAUGGUGAAGAUAGGUGUGGAGGUUGAUUUUGCACACAUUAAUUAUGAUGAAAGUGACAGUUGCACCAUCUAGGAAAGUUGCACAUAAAAAUGAUUGUAAUUGUAUGACAUUUGUAUAGGGACUAUAGUACACAAAUUUCUGGUUGUAAAUGUAUCUUAAUGGUUAUAGGGACUUUUGUUAUCAGAAUUAUGCAUGGAAUUUAAUUGAUUGAUUUUACAUUUCAUAAUAGGGUAUUAAGUGUUUGGACUAUAAUGGAUUUUUAUUUUUAUUUUUUGUAUUUGUUUUAAUAUAUUAUGUCAUUGUGUUUCAAUUUUGUAAGCUGCUUGAUUCAAGCUAAUGCUAACUAUUUAUAUGCUAUUCUCUCUUAUUUCAAUUCAUAUAAUUACUUCAUUCUAUUUUUUUUGUUAAAUAAAUAAAUUAUGUCUUCUAAACACACGUCUGAGUAUGGAUUGCAACUUAUAAAAUUGUAAAAAAUAAAAUAAAAUUAUAUCAUAUUUUUUAUAUUUUAAGAAUUUUUAAUAUAAGCUCUUAAUCUAUAUCAAUAAAUCUAAUCUACUAACAGGUGAAAAAAAGAAAUUUAUGUACAAAGAAUUGAGAUUAAAAUAUAAAAAAAAAUUAAUCAACAUUACAAUGUGAAUAAAUGGGAUGUAUAUAAUUAAUAUUGAUUACUUUUGGCAUCAAGGAAAAAUCUAACCAUGUGACAACCACAUCACUCUUUAAUGCGCUUUUCAACAUAUGGCUACUUUUAUUCUUUUUCCCUUUUGCUUCUUCAAUUCUUUAACUUCUUUUGAGAAAAGCCAAGUACAUGGGCCCUUUUAAGUUGAAAAAUGAGUCAUAGCAUGCUUAUCUUUCCACAUUGUUCUAAUUUUUCAUAGAAAUGAUCCAACAAAUACAUUGAAAUUGUAUUGGAAGAUGAAGGGUGAUUGCACCAAUUGGCCAUGGCUAUGGAGUUGGUACUAGUGUUCCUCUAAUAAUGUUCUCCAGGUAAAGUCAAAGUAUUUUUGCCUUCUUCCCCUUUACUUUAAUUACCAUUUUAUCGAUUUGAUUAGUGUAAUUAUCUGAAAAUAUAUAUCAUUAAUAUUUCUCUAAUCUUGGAUUGGAUUUAAAUUGAUUAGAUUGUCUAAUUUAAAAUCCAUUCAUAAUUUUUUCUACUAUAUUUAUACAAAAAUUUAAAUAGUAAAAUAAAAUUUUAAAAUAGUAAUAAAAAAAAGUAGAAAUAAAUUUACAUACCUUUAAAAAAAAUGAAAAAUUACAUGAUAUGAUUAUAAUUUGAUGUUUUUAAAAAAAUAUAAAAUAUAUAUAUUAUUAUGUAAAAAAUAUAUAUUAUAAACAUGAUGAAAAUAUUAAAUCAAGUUUAUUAUCUGUUGACAAAUAGAAUGAGAUGUUUAGGUCUACUAUAAUGUCUAGUCAAUCAUUCGAGCAAGGAGAUUGGCUAUGUAAAUCAUGGUAAGCUUUCUAAAAGCAAGGUUUUCACGGAUGGAAGACCAUAAAAUUUAGAAAGAUUCCAUUAUAUUUACAUCUUUCACUUCCAUCAUAGAAAGCAGACAUACAUGAAUGGGCCAUGGGUUGAGUGAUGGCACACCUAACUUUCCACAUUGUCGUCAUUAAUUUCCAACAAAAAUAAUUGACGGCAUUGAGUUCUUAUUGGAGCAAAGAAAGCUGCUACUCCAUUCCUAUUCUUCCUAACGACGUCUUGUGUCUUUCAUUUCCACUUCGCAUCUGCUAACCUUCAUCUUCCCCUCAAUUCCUUCACUUCCUCUGCAGAGAAACAGGCAUGGCCCUAGAGAUAUUUGCAGGAGCUUUUCUCUCCGCUUCUCUCCAUGUUCUUUUCGACAGGUUGGCUUCUUCCGAGGUAUGGACCUUCAUCGGGGGACAGAAGGUCAGUGAGGAACUCCUUCUGGAGUUGGGGAUGAAAUUGCUGGUUGUGGAUAAAGUGCUCGACCAUGCUGAGGUAAAGCAAUUUACAGAUGAACGAGUCAAAAGGUGGUUGGUGCGCGUUAAGAAUGCUGUGUAUGAUGCGGAAGACCUACUGGACGAGAUUACCACAGAAGCUUUGCGACGCAAGAUGGAAGCUGCUGACUCCCAGACUGGCCCAACUCACGUACUGAACAGCUUUUCCACAUGGUUUAAGGCCCCACUUGCUGAUCAUCAAAGCAUGGAAUCUAAGGUAAAGAAGAUCAUCGGAAAACUGGAAGUUCUUGCACAAGCAAUAGAUGUGCUUGCUUUGAAGGGUGAUGGUAAGAAACUGCCACAAAGAUUACCCUCGACUUCUCUGGUGGAUGAAUGUUGUGUGUACGGCAGGGAUGAAAUUAAAGAGGAGAUGAUUAAAGGGUUGUUGUCUGAUAAUACAGGUCGCAACAAGAUAGAUGUGAUCUCCAUAGUCGGCAUGGGCGGCGCAGGCAAGACCACCCUGGCUCAGCUUUUGUAUAAUGAUGGGAAAGUGAAAGGACACUUUCACCUGAAAGCAUGGGUUUGUGUUUCGGAGGAGUUUUGUCUUCUCAAGGUGACAAAAUCAAUUCUUGAGGGAAUAGGAUCUGCGGCCUCUUCUCAUAUGCAAAGCGAGAACCUGGAUUUGCUUCAGCAAAACUUAAAAGAUAGCCUUGGUGACAAGAAAUUUCUACUCGUUCUGGAUGAUGUUUGGGAGAAAUGUCCUAGUGAAGGGGCAGGGUUACGAAUUCCGCUCCUAGCUGCUUGGGAAGGGUUACGAAUUCCACUCCUAGCUGCUGGGGAAGGAAGCAAGGUUGUUGUGACCACUCGCAAUCGAAACGUUGCAAAAAUCAUGCGUGCAGAUCAUACUCAUCCUCUGGAAGGGUUGUCCCAGGCACAUUGUUGGUCCUUAUUUGAAAAACUUGCAUUUGAAAAUGGAGCCUCGGGCCCAUAUCCUCAACUUGAAUCAAUAGGCAGAAAGAUCGUGGCUAAAUGCCAAGGAUUGCCUUUAGCGGUCAAAGCACUUGGUUGUCUCUUGUAUUCUAAAACUGACCGAAGGGAAUGGGAACAAAUUUUGGAGAGUGAAAUUUGGGAUUUGCAAGAUCAUGAAAUCGUUCCUUCGUUGAUAUUGAGUUAUCGAGAUCUCCCAUUGCAUCUGAAACGAUGUUUUGCCUAUUGCUCCAUUUUCCCCAAGGACCAUGAAUUUGAUAAGGAGAAUCUGAUUUUACUAUGGAUGGCAGAAGGACUUCUACAAUUUUCAAAAAGCAAUGAAAGAAUGGGAAAGGUAGGUGAGAAGUAUUUUGAUGAACUUGUAUCGAAGUCAUUUUUUCAGAAAUCUGCUUUCAACAAAUCAUGCUUUGUCAUGCAUGAUCUCAUGCAUGACUUGGCUCAAUAUAUAUCUAGAGAAUUUUGUAUUCGAGUUGAGGAUGAUAAGGUGCAAGAAAUCUCAGAGAACACUCAUCACUCAUUGGCCUUUUGUCGUACCUUUGAUAGAUUGGUUGUGUUUAAGAGGUUUGAGGCCCUUGCAAAAAUAAAGUGUCUUCGAACGUACCUUGAGUUUUCAGAGGAAUUUCCUUUUUAUAUUCCAAGUAAAAGGGGAAGUGUUGAUUUACACGCUAUAUUAUCUAAAUGGAGGUACUUACGAGUGUUGUCAUUGCGUUUUUAUAGACUUACUGAUUUGCCCGAUUCAAUAGGUGAAUUAAAAUAUUUGCGUUAUUUGGAUAUCUCAUAUACUGGGAUUAAAAAGUUGCCUGAUUCCGUGUGUUAUUUAUACAAUUUACAAACAAUGAUUCUAUCAGUAUAUUACCAUUUCAUUGAAUUGCCUGAAAGGAUGGAUAAAUUGAUUAAUUUGCGUUAUCUUGAUAUAAGAGGAUGGAGAGAAAUGCCAAGUCACAUUAGUACAUUAAAAAGUUUACAGAAGUUGAGUAAUUUUAUUGUGGGCCAAAAAGGUGGAUCAAGAAUUGGUGAAUUAGGAGAGCUUUCAGAUAUUGGGGGAAGACUUGAAAUUUCAGAAAUGCAGAAUGUGGAGUGUGCUAGGGAUGCGUUGAGAGCGAAUAUGAAGGAUAAGAGACACCUUGAUGAACUAUCCUUGGCAUGGAGAGACGAAGGUACUAAUGAUGUUAUACAAAGUGGCGUCCUCAACAACUUGCAGCCUCAUCCAAAUUUAAAGCAGCUUACCAUCGCAGGUUAUCCCGGUGUAGCAUUUCCAGACUGGAUAGGAGGAGGUUCUUCACUCUCGAAUCUGGUCACCCUGCUGUUGUGGACAUGUGAAAAUUGUUCAUCAUUGCCACCACUUGGGCAACUACCCUCUCUUAAACAUCUUUCUAUCUCAGGACUAAAAGGAGUAGAGAGGGUGGGAAGGGAGUUUUAUGGGGAUGCUUCUUCCUCCAUUGCAAGUAAGCCCUCCUUCCCAUUCCUACAAACUCUAAGAUUUGACAGGAUGGACAACUGGGAGCAAUGGUUAUGUUGUGGAUGCGAAUUCCAUCGUCUCCAGGAGCUUUAUAUAAAGAAAUGUCCCAAACUCACAGGGAAAUUACCAGAAGAGCUUCCUUCAUUGAAGAAACUUGAAAUUGAUGGAUGUCGGGGGCUGCUUGUGGCUUCACUCCAAGUUCCAGCCAUUCGUGAAUUGAAAAUGGUGGGUUUUGGUGAAUUGCAGUUGAAAAGGCCAGCCUCUGGCUUCACUGCUCUUCAAACUUCACAUAUUGAAAUUUCAAAUGUGCCUCAGUGGAGGCAACUACCAUUGGAACCGCACGAGCUCACAAUUACAAACCUUGAUGCUGUAGAGUCUCUACUAGAGGAGGGAAUCCCGCAAACCCACCCUUCUGUCAUGCAUGAUUUGAAAAUCAGGGGUUGUUAUUUUUCCAGACCGUUGAACAGAUUUGGUUUUUCCAUGGUCACAUUAAAAUCGCUACAAAUCUGUGACUGUAACAACGUAGGGUUUCUCCUACCUGAGUUGUUCAGAUGCCAUCACCCAUCUCUUGAAGAAUUAAAAAUCAUCGAUAGUAAAACCGAUUUAUCUCUCUCAUCAUCCUUCUCAUUAUCCUUCUCUUUAGCCAUCUUCCCCAGGUUGAUUCAUUUUGAUAUCAGUUCUGUAGAUGGUCUUGAAUCCCUCUCCAUCUCGAUUUCAGAAGGGGAACCAACUUCUCUUCGUUCGUUGGAAAUUAUCAAGUGCGAUGAUCUUGAAUAUAUUGAAUUGCCUGCUCUCAACUCGGCAUGCUAUAGUAUCUCGGAAUGCUGGAAGCUCAAGUCGCUGGCACUCGCACUCUCAUCCUUGAAGAGAUUAAGUUUAGCAGGUUGUCCACAAUUGUUGUUUCACAACGAUGGUUUGCCCUUCGACCUACGUGAACUCGAAAUUUUCAAAUGCAACCAACUCAAGCCCCAGGUGGACUGGGGUUUGCAGAGACUGGCCUCUCUUACAGAAUUCAUAAUCGGUGGAUGCCAGAACGUGGAGUCAUUUCCCGAGGAGCUCCUGCUGCCCCCCACUCUUACCACUCUUGAAAUGAAAUAUUUUCCAAAUCUCAAGUCUCUGGACGGUAGAGGGCUUCAACAGCUUACCUCGCUCACAAAAUUAUCCAUCCGUCACUGCCCUCAGCUCCAAUUUAUUCCACAAGAGGGGUUUCAACAUUUUCCUUCUCUUAUGGAAUUAGAGAUCGAAGACUGCCCGGGCCUCCAAUCCUUUGGGGAAGACAUCCUUCGACAUCUUUCAUCUCUUGAACGAUUAUCCAUCUGUCGGUGCGAUGCACUCCAGUCCUUGACAGGAUCGGGUCUUCAACACCUCACCUCUCUUGAAAAAUUGGAAAUCCGUCUCUGCCCUAAGCUCCAAUCUUUGAAAGAAGUGGGUCUACCAUGCCUUGCCCCUCUUAAACAACUACACAUCUCGGGCUUACCCGAGCUCCAAUCCUUGACAGAAGUGGGUCUUCAACACCUCACCUCUCUUGAAAUAUUAUGCAUCUUCAACUGUCCUAAGCUUCAAUCCUUGACAGGAGAGAGACUUCCAGAUUCCCUCUCUUUUCUACACAUCAAGAACUGUCCUUUGCUGGAACAGCGGUGCCAAUUUGAAGAAGGGCAAGAAUGGGAUUAUAUAGCUCACAUCCCACGAAUAUACAUCGGUCGUGAGGCAUUCUAACGAAGGUGUUUGCUGGAGUAAUAAUUAGCCAGGUACUUAUGCUACAUUUUAACAUUUUAACCAACCAAGAAUUAUAUUUCCACGACUUCUUCAAUUUACCUUUCAAAAUGCUGUGAAAUAUUUUAAUUACUUUAAUCCUUUUGAGGGCCUAACAAAUGUUGAUCUUUUUCCCAUGCUACAAAAUUUGGGAUUUAACUUUGUGAAGAGGAGCAAGGGAAGAUUAACCACAGGUAGGCAACAUUUUGAACAAUUUGAGACUAGAAUCAAAUGUGGUUUUGCAAACAUUUGUGUACAUUGUACUUCCAGAAUGUAAAUUUGUGUCUAUUUCUCUUACAGAGUCACAGAGGAAAUCAAUAAGAUCUCAAAUUGCAAGAAUUUCAGGUCACUGAUGCUUGCUCUGGUACUUUACUGAGUAUCACGAACUGUUCGUGGCUGAUGUCCCACAUGUAGUAAGAGAUGAUCUGGCUUUCUAACGACGAUGAUUGCACACCAAUUUACAGUCAGUCAGGUAAUUUUUGUUUUUGUUAAUUAUUUCAGUUUGGUAUAUUAUUUGAUUCCAUAUCUCCUGCUAUUGAAUCUUUUCAGAUUCCGAUAAUGGUCCAUAAGUUGAAGCUUUUACACAACUAUGUUGCAAUCCAGGUGCAUUGAGCAGCCCUACAGAUUUGGUGUCUUGAUUAGCAUUAUUGGGUUUGUUUUCCAUGGGCUAAAUCAUUGGGAACCACUUUUGAUUAUCAGUUUCUAAGGGGCAUUGUGUUUCAGGUAUGUAACAACAAAGACACAUACUACCUUCUGCAUCCCAGUACCCUUCACAAGAUUGGUGCAGGACAUGCUCUGUUUCUUUGAUUUAAGAUUUAUUCAGAGGGUAGGACUCCGGAACAAAAAUAGAAGAAGAAUGGGGGGAGAAUGACUCAGGGAAGCUAUUGCUUUAAGCAUACACAAGAAGCAAGACACAGAGUUCUGAUGAAUGCCAUUUUCUCUUUUGCAUUUUGACUAGCAUUUGAUCCAAGUACUCCUUUCAGAUCUUAAUACUCCAUUCAAGGGACUGCAGAACCUCAGCUCUCUUCAAGAACUGAAUGAUGUUUUCUCACACUUUUGAUGGAGAAUGAACCCUCCUUGUUUGUUGAAUUUAAGACUUAUUUUGAAACUAGAAACCAGGAACAAAUAUAUGAAGAAGAGCAAGAGAGAGUUGACCCUAGAUAGCUUACAUUAUUGCGCAAAUUUAUGUUAGAUCUAGGACUCAUUUUGGAAACUACUGGUCCAAAAACAAACACAGUGAAGCAGAACUAAGAUGAUACAAUUUAUUAAAGACUUCUCCAAAUCUAUUUUGUGUAAUCAUUUAGAUGACUCAAAUUAAAAUUCUUCAUGCUUUAAAAAUAUGUCACCCAUCAUAUUCUGUCCACUCCCUUCCCCUUCAUAUUUUAAUUCAUCAUCAAUUAGAGUUUCUAAUGCCAAUGAUAAAUUAAACUCCAUAGUGAAUUUUUCUUAUUCUUUUUCUGAUCAAUUGUGAUUAUGAAGCAAAUAUCUUAAAAAGAUAAGUCAGAGCACAUCCAUAGCUGUACCUCUGCAAAUUUCUGAUCAAUUCAUCCAUGUUUUCUUUCCUUUUAUUUAUUUUUAUAUGGUAGCUGUUGAAUUCUCUGACUAUAUAUUCUCAUAAACUCACACCCAAUACUUUCAGUUUCAUAUAUGAUCUAAUGGAAUGAGUUAACACCUAAAUAUUUGUCUAAUUGUUGUGUCUUUUGCAGAUGCCUUCCACUUUCGCCAGCCUUGUAACCCUACUUAUUCGAAGGUAUUUCCUUUUCUUCCCUGCUCGUUGUAUAGAUAUCACUACUUUGCUCCUUAUAAACUGCACCAUUAGUUUUAUAAAAAAAAAAUAGCACCUGUAAUGCUGCAGCUGUUUUCAUGGCUGGUCUUGCUCCUAAAAUUUUUGUCUUUUGUAUGUUCAAAGCGAGGGUUUAGUUAUUAUGAUGGCUCUUUGAAAUGGAAGGUGGAGUUAGGAAGAUGUGUCUGUUGUAGCGGCUGUGACAUAAUUGCUACUAAAAUUAAGAGAUAUUAUUCUUGAUGGUUCUCUCCCUCCUCCUUGAUGGGAUCUGCGAAAAUUGACUAGUGAGUGAGCCACUACCAUGCCUUUCCAUGCUAUAUUACUGAAACAAAAUUGGUCAAAUCUUACAGAGGUGGCUCUGUUUUGAUUUGGCAGGCUUGCACUUACGAGGAGUCCCCGUGGUGAAAGGCCCUGGAGAUUUUCUUGUUUUGCACCAAGUCAACCAGUUUCAAAAGACAAGCCAGUUUAAGUACAACAUCUUUGUGAUGUACCUUUGGAACUUUUUUCUUUCCUGAUUUUGAUGUCAUUUUCUGCUUGGUUUGGUCUUUCUUGGGUGUCAACAGUGACCAGGAAUUUUUGACAAAAUGGAGAGUGCCAGUCUCCCUCUCUUAUUUGACGGUCAACUACUGUUGUUCUCUCCAAGAACAGUUCCAAUUCAGGAAAGGGAAAGAUGGGCAUUAUAUAGCUCACAUUCCACAAAUGGAGAUAGGCCUAGUGCUGUUCUAAUGAAGGUGGUGGUACAUCAAUAUAUAACAAGGUAAUUGUUCUAUGCUCAAAAUAAAUUUCUUCCAAAAAUGUUUCACUUGAGAUUUUUCUCUUAACCCAACAAGCCUAGUUCGAGAUAAUUCACACUUCAACACAGCCAGCUUUCAUUUUAUUUGGCAGAUUGCACUUACUGGGAGUUCCUGUAACAAAAGGUUGUGGUGACGCUUUAUUCUGCCUAAACAAGAGGAUCACUUACCAAAGGCAGGGGGAUAGAAUUCUAACAUCUUUGUUCUAUGGUUGCCACUCGUUUCUUUCCCAAGUUUUGAUGUCAUUUUGUUAUUGUUUUCGUUCUGGUGUUUGUUAGGUCUUGAUUGCUCGGGGAGAAUACGAAGAUGUUCUAUUGCUGUGGGGUUAUGGUCUUAGAAUUGAGAACAUUCUUGUGCUUCUAUCGGUGACUAUGGGCAUUGGUUCUCAUUGUUUGUGUCAACAAGAGUCAAUUGUAUAUUUGUAGAGAAAUAAUGUCUAAAUUUUUAAUGAAGGUUUACUCCAUGAGACUUGCAAGAAGAAUAUUGUAAUUAAAUUGAUCAACCUAUGAGACUUUUGGUAGUUCUGUUUGCCAUUUUGAUGUCGGUAUCAUCUUGAAGUGGUGGAGUGCAGUUUCCUCAUUGAACUUUAUGAUUUUAUAUGGAAAAGAUGAUUUUGAGCUUAUUCAUUGUCUUCAUGCAUUUUUUUUUUUGUUAUUUUUGCUCAAAUUUGGAAGUUUAUACCAAGCUAAGAAUGUACAAAUUGUUAUGCACUCUUUAGAUUGUUUGUUUACCCAUUUUGUUGUCAUUUUAUUCUUGUUUUGGUGUUUGUUAGGUCUUGAUUGCGACCAGAAAUUUAAUAGAUGUCUACUGCUGUGGAGAUGAUUAUUGAGAUCACUCAUGGAUCCCAUUCCAAACAAGCCUAUUCUUUCAGUUUUUCUAAUGAUUGAGCAUUAUAAAAUUAGGUUGUGUGAAUAAAUUUCUUUUAUCCUCUUAAUAGACUAUCUCAAAAGCCCUUUUGAUUUACCAUUUUAGGGUUUUGAUUCUAUUGGAUUUGUUGUCAGCCCUAGGAAGUUCCUGUUUUAAAAUUUGAUUUGUAAUGUUAAGACCAUUAACAAAGUGACAUUGUAAGUAUCAUUUUCCAUGGAAUAAUUCCUUAGAAAGUUCAUGGCAGUCCCCAUUUUCUUCAUGACAAAUAUUAGAACUCUGAAAGCCAUCUCUUCCCUAAACCAUUCCUGAUAAUCAAUUUUGAGAAUCAUGAAACUGUUUCGUCGAUGACAGCAGCAAAAUAUCAGGAAUUGCAGAGCCUCAACUCUCUUGAAGAAUUGUGUAUGUACAAAAAUACCAUUGCUCAUACUGUUAUUGGGACUAAGAGAGCAAAGCAUGCACUAUUUUUGUUAAGCAUACAUAUUCAUUCAAAAACAUCCUUUGAGCAAUUUAAGAAUACCCACCAAUUCUCAAUUUUGUAUGACUUGUUUCCACUUCCAUAACAUCAAUGUCUGAACUUAUCUAUUUAUCUUACAGAGGCACAGAGGAAAUCAAUGAGAUCUGUAAUUGCAGAAUAUACACACUCUCUGGAAUGGGCCUUAUAUGCAAUCUUUGGAAAAUCCCUUGCUUUUGAGUAAUUCCUGUGUUGAAGCUUUCACACAUCAUCUAUAAUGGACUAUUGUUUAUGAAACAGGUGCACGAAAGCUGGUCUACAAGUUUGGUUUCUUGAUUAGAAUUUUUUGCAUAAACUUACGAAUCUCUCUUACAAAAUUAUCCAUCAACAACUGCCCUGAGCUCCACUCUUUUGGUGAAGAGGGGCUUCAACAUCUUACAUCUCUUGAACAAUUGGAGAUCAGUAGUUACCCUGUCCUCCUGUCCUUAAACAGGGUCGGGUCUUCAACACCUUACCUCUCUCAAAAAAUUUUACAUCAAUAAUUUUCGUAGGCUCCAAUGUUUGACGAAAGAGAGACUGCCUACACCCCUUUCAUUGCUUAAAAUACAAAAAUGCUUUUUGCUGGAACAUCGGUGCGAAUUUGGAAAAGGCGACGAUUGGUGUCAUAUAGCUCACAUUGGAUGUGUGGUGAUAGAUGAUGUGCUAUUCUGAUGAAGGUGAAACUGCAUGAAUCCGAGGUCUAGUGCUUGUUCUAUACUCAAAAUAAGUUUCUUAAAAAUUAGAUGAUUAUAAAUGACUAUUGGUGUCUUUCAGGUUUAGGCUGUGCUUCACUCUCAUUAUGGUACUGAUUGUAGCUUCUGACCGGGCCAUACAUGCUAAUGAUAGAAUAAACUAAAUAGCAAUACAGAAGUGAAUUUUUAUGUAUUCUUUUUGGGAUCAAUUGUGAUUAUGAAUCCAUAGCUGUACCUCUGCAAAUUUCUGAUCAAUUCAGCCAUGUUUUCUUUUCUUUUAUUUAUUUUUAUAUGGUAACAGUCUGAAUUCUCUGACCAUAUAUUGACUAAUUUACUCAUACCCACUCCUUUCAGUUUCAUAUAUGAUCUUAUGAAAUGUGUUAACACCUAAGUAUUUGUCCAACUGUUGUGUCUUUUGCAAAUACCUUUCACUUUCGCCAGCCUUAUAAAUCCUACUUGUUCAAAGGUGUUUCCUUUUCUUCCUUGCUCACUGUAUGGAUAUCAUUACUUUGCUGCUUAUCAAAUGGAUCAUUAGUUUUCUCAAGAAAAACAACACCUGUAAUGCUGCAGCUGUUUUCAUGGCUGGUCUGGUUCCUGAAGCUUACUUUUUGUAUGUUCAAAGUAAGGAUUUAAUUAUUAUGAUGCUCCUUGAAGUGGAAGGUGGAAUUAGGAAGAUGUGUCUGUUGUAAUGGCUGUGACAUAAUUGCUACUAAAAUUUAGAGAUACCAUGCCUUUCCAUUCUAUAUUACUGAAACAGAAUUGGGCAAAUUUUACAGAGGUGGCUCUGUUUGGUUUUGGCAGGCUGCACUCACUAGGAGUCAACCACCUUCAAAAGACAAGCCAGUUUAAAUUAAAGUCUUUGUGGUUUACCUUCUGAACUUGUUUCUUCCCCGAUUUUGAUGUCAUUUUCUUCUUGGUUUGGUCUUUCUUGGGUAUCAACUCUGACCAGGAAUUUUUGACGAAACGGAAACUGGCAGUCUCCCUCUCAUAUCUGACUUUCAAGUUGCUGUUCUUCUCUGCAAGAACAGUCCCAAUUCAGGAAAGGGAAAGACUGGCAUUAUAUAGGUCAUAUUCCACACAGAGAGAUAUUCUGUUGUUUUUGUUUUGUUUACAUGUCCUUGAAUUGAGAACCUUCUUAUGCUGCUCAUUGGCAGAGUUGCAAUUGCCAUGCCUUCAGUUCUAUCAGUGACCAUGGGCAUUGCUUCUCAUUGUUUGUCUCAGCAAGAUUCAAAAGCACAUCCAACGGGCAUUAAUUAUAUUUUACUUUUUUUUUUUCCUAUUUUCCAUUGUAAAAUCAAACAUGAAAAAAAAUCAUGUUCAUUAGCUUUUUUUCUUUUGUACUUUUCUAGAACAAAACAUAACAUUAGAAUUUCAUCAUAACUAUGUUGAUAACGAUUAGCAAUAUUGUAUUUCAUUAGAAUUUAAUUAUGGAGUUCGAUGUUCCAAUUAUCGAAGUAAGCAUAACAAUACAUAUUAUUAUUUUAUUAAAGAGUGCAUAGCAAAGAAGGGAAUCUAAUUGAAAUUUGCAAAGCCUUGUAUGAUCAAAUUAUUGAUAUUUUUACAAAGUCUUUUAAGUUUAAUAAUUUAGAAGGCUUAGAAUUCUACUUGGAGUUCCAAAUCAAGUUUAGAGAGAGGGUUGAAAAAUGACAAUGAGCUUUUAGAAAGAUUUCAAUAAUUGGAUUUGAUUUGAUUUCAAAAAGAAAUAUACAAUAAAUUUUUUUGAUUGUUUAGAAUUUAAUUAUAGAGUUUGAUGUUCCAAUUAUUGAAGUAAACAUUAUAGUUGUAGACCCUCUAUUCUGUCCUCCUAACACAUGUCCUUUACAACAAUUCCCUGAUGACCCAUUAAUACUUGCGUAGCCUAUCUUUUCUAAGCCACAUCGGGGACUUCGGUUGAGGGAUUCAUUUAACCCUAUCGUGACUCUUGGUAGCCCUAAUUUAGACUUAGGCUCAUUUAAGCACUUUAGGUUCACUUAGAUCCACUUAAGCACUUUAGGUUCACUUAGAUAUACUUGGGCACCACCCUAGGCCCACUUAGACCCUUUAGGUCCAUUAGGCACCACACCCUAGGCCCACUUAGGCACACUUAGGCCCAUUAGGCACCGUCAUUGGUCCACUUAGACCCUAUAGGUCCAUUAGAUAUACCCGAGGCCCAUUAGACAUUCUUUGCAUGACUUGAAUUGCUCACAUGAUUGCAUGGUUGCAUAGAUUUCAUGACACUUUACUAUUAUUAUUAUUAUUAUCAUUAUUUACUUAAUUAUUUUGUUAAUUUAAUUUGUUUAUUUAUUUUAUAAUUUUCUAAAACACCUUGAGAUUCAUUUAUUAAGUCUACUUUUCUUUAUGUUUUUGUAGAGAAACUCACCAAAGGAAUAAUCACUAGAGAGAAAAAGGAAGGUUGAAAACGUGUAUUGGCAAGGAUAUUCAUGCGUGAGUCUUUCGGGAAAUAGAGGAUAUUCAGUAAAAAAAAAAUAAAAUUAAAAAGAGGAAUUUUCAUGUGUGAUUAUGGAAAGGAAAUAUUCAGCAGGUUGAAGGAUGGAUUCAAGGUGGUUGGAAGAGGAGAGGAUGUAUGGAAGGAAAUGAACUAAGAAGGAAAGCAAGUAUGCACCCAUGCAUGUGCUGAUUGUGCUUCUGAUGGAAGGAAAUGAAUGAAGAAAGAAAAUUACCAAAGCUGUUUUGGCAUGGGAAAAGGAAAGGUUCAAUGUGUAUUUGGACGGAAUGAAGACUAUGUUCAGGAAGGAGAGUCCUGAUGAUGCUGGACUGACGUGGAUGAUUGAGGCUCUCCGGGCUGGUGAGUUGUCUUCCCAUGUUGGCGGAGUACUCAAAGAGAUGAGGUGAGAUUAAAGAGAGGAAAAGGAGUGGUGGUUUUGGGGGAAAAAAAGGGAGAUACAUGACUGUUGAUGCCUCGCGUCCCAGGGAUCCACGUAGCUGCCAAGUGGACGCGCGUCUUCAACCAAGAUUGAGUUCUGGCUCAGUUGACCUUGCAAAAGAUGUCCGGACAGGGUGUUCGGACACACCCUCCGAUGGUUUUGUUAGCCAUGGCUUUAGAGAUUAAACUGUUGGCCUUUUUUCAGGGAUAGCAAGCUUACCUUCUUCCUUGUGUGAAGGUCCUUUUAUAUAGUGUCAGAAGCUUUGCCUCCCUCUUUAAUGGGGGGAAGACUUUUUGGCUUGUCAUGAUGUCCUCAAGGUGGUGGCAAGGCCAUCAUCACCCUGUAGGCAACUGUCAGAGAUCGUGGGAGGUGACUUGUCAUCGCUCCUGUUCUUUCGCUCUGUAGGCGGCGAAACGUGGGCUGUGGCAGGCUGUCGGGGAUGACUCAGCAAGGCUUGCUUGCUACAGUCAAUGAUCCAGAUAAUAGGCCUGGGUAGGAUAGAGCAUCGCCCGGGUAUGAUAUCUGAGAGUGCUGUGUGCCUCUCCUGGGGAGUCCAGAUAGGGGCGCGCCACGUGUCCUCUUGGGGAGUCCGGAUGGAGUUGCUCCGGAUAGCGAUGGGCGCCACGUGUUAUCAGGGGGAGGGGUCCCUACAAUGCCCCCCUUUUAACCUGUCGAUUUUACCCAGGCAGAAUGGGCGGGUUAAAAAUGAUUGUUUUUGAAACUUAGGUUUGCUUUUUGCACUCAUUGGGCCACAUGGUGCGCGGAGGCGAAAAGAUGACUUAGGAAUGCGUCAGGCAACCUGAGAAGACUUGGGAAUGUCUUGUCGAGCACAUCUUGCAUUAAAGAUGAGUGACAGUUCAGGAGACUUGGUCGUCAGCAUUGUCGGAGUUUGCUUUUUGAUUGUGGGCGGAAAUGGAUCCGGCGAAUCGCGAGUAUCUGACGAGCCAAGCUAUCCGGGGAAUCUGAAUCGUUAGCCACAGAUGUUCUCUGGGUAGGCACUACCAGAGGAUCCGGAUGUUAUCAGGCAGCAGGAUCCGGACGUGAGAUAUCCGGAGAAGGCAGAACGUCGGCCGGAUCCAGAUGUGGUGGGAUGUCGACGGAUCCGGAUGUGAGAUAUCCGGAGAAGACGGAACAUCGGCGGAUCUAGAUGUGGGAUACCCCGGAGAAGGCGGAACAUCGGCCGGAUCCGGAUGUGGUGGGAUGUUGGUCGGACAGAAUUCCUCCCUCGGGUGGAAUGAGCUAUGAUUCCCGUCCGGGUGGAAUGAGCGAUGCCCCGCGUCGCAAGGGAGACGUCCGUGUGUCCUUUUGUUGUUAUGCGGCCAUCCGGAUGGAUGCUGCCUCUCUAGCCUCAUCCGCCCAAUUCAAGUGCCUUGCAAUCUCAUCGCCUUCAUUUCUUUGACCUUGGACGGCAUUCCGGGCUGUGGGCAUACCCAUUUCAGUUGGGAUGAUGACAUCUGUUCCGUAUGCGAGGGCAAACGGGGUGUUCCCUAUCGUCAUUCCGGGUAGCUCUUCUAUCCACUUUCCUUUGGCUUUUUCCAACUGUUUCUUCAACGCACUUAGCAAGGUUUUAUUGGUCGCUUCCGCUUGACCGUUGCUCUGAGGAUACCGCGGUGUGGAAUACAGGUUUUUUGAUGUAAAGUUUCGUGUAAAAAUCUUUAAAGGCAGAGCCAUCAAACUGAGGGCCGUUGUCAGCUAUGAUCGCCCGAGGGAUACCAAAUCGACAUACUAUGUUUUUCCAGACGAACCUUUUGACGUCCUUGUCCUUGAUGCUUGCAUAGGCUUCAGCCUCCACCCACUUGCUGAAAUAAUCGGUAGCAACGAGUAGAAACUUCUUCUGAGCGGCUUGCACAUUAUCUCCCCUUGGGAUUUUCUCAAUGGCCCACUCUCACAGCCGGCUGAGUGACUCUUGUACUUUCAGUAAGUAUUUGGCCAUGCGCUCGUCUCCUUGGCCUCGUAUUCUUCUUGUAUUUGCCCCACGACGAGUUGGGAGUUGCUAUGGAUUUUGACUUUUGAGGCAUUUAGGGUGGUUGCAAGGCCCAAUCCGAAUAGGAUGACCUCAUAUUCAGCUUCAUUGUUUGAGGCGGGAAAAUCCAGACGGAUGGAUUGCUCCAGCAGUUCUCUGGUUGGCGUUUUGAGGAGGAGUCCGACUCCUGAUCCGGAUGGGCGGGAGACCCCGUCAACAUGCAGACACCAUCAAUCAUCCAGAGUCGAUUCUUUGUCCGCCGUGUUGGGACGUCAUUUGUUUUAUCCGGGAUUGGACCGGAGUAUUUUUGUCUCUGGUGCCAAAGCGACCCAGUUUUUGGCUUUGGUGCCAAAGUGACCCAGAGUGACGUCCCCAGGAUUCGAACUUGGGUGGUGACAAGGCUGUGCUCUGGUGCCCGGCCGUACCACCGAACUGUGCCAGACGGGGGCAUCACAGUCAGAAUGGGCCAGGGGCAGAGUGGCCUCCGUGUAUGUAGUUGAUUACUGUCUUAACAAGAGCCGCUGGGGCGCGUGGGCCUCGAUCAUGGGAAGAUCCUUCACCUUUAGGCGCUGUUCGGACAUACUGCUUCAACUGUCCCGCCUUUAAGAUAUCCUCCACCAUGUAAUGAAGGUUUCUACACGUUUCAAUGUUGUGCCCAUUAUCUUUAUGGUAAUCACAUCUUUUGUUGCGGUCCCUUUCUGAGGGGUUCAAUCUCAUUGGUACUAGCCAUCUGAAGCCAGGCAGAUCGCGGAUUAUAGGAAGCAGUUUUUCGUACGACUUGGUGAGAGGUGUCUGAAUGAGUGGAGAGCGGAUUAUAGGAGGGGUUGUGUGCGAGGGAUCUUUGCAGACCCGCGUCACAGGGGGGCGAGCGGCAUGUCCCUGUAAAGUAGGCGAGAUUGAAGGCUCGGAGUGUGCCUUCAGUGAUAUGGUGGUAUGAGACCUGUUUUUGCAGAGUGUUUAGGGUCCCAGACGCAAGCGCGUUGCGUCAGAUAUUUGAGGCCUUUUCUCACGUUGUCGCUUGGAUGAGACUCAAGUAGAGCCUGAACUUUCGUCUCGUCGGACAUGGUGAGCGUGCACUGGGGUUUCAUUAGGCCAUGCUUCAUGCGCCUUGAGGGUUGGGCUCGCCUCUCGGGGGAGUGGGACUUCCUGGUUGCAACAAGGAUCCUGCCUCCGCUGAUAAUGCUGAGGUUGGGAAGAGCUUUGGAUCCUCAAGACAUUGUUUUCUUCCCUGAGUUUUCUUGUUUCUUGGAGCAGAAUUUGCAUCUGCCGUUCAUUUUCUCAUUGUCGUCUUUCCAUGUCACUUCGCCAUUCGAAGUAACCUUUGUCACCUCUGGCGGAAGAGUGACUCCUUGAGGAUGAAGUCAUCUUUACAGUUGGAAGGUACAGGAUUUACUGAGAAGAAAAGAUGUUCCCAUAAACGGCGCCAAUGUUGAUGCCUAGCGUCCUAGGGAUCCACGUAGCUGCCAAGUGGAUGCGCGCCUUCAACCAAGAUUGAGUUCUGGCUCAGUUGACCUUGCAAAAGAUGUUCGGACAGGGUGUCCGGACACACCCUCCGAUGGUUUUGUUAGCCAUGGCUCUAGAGAUUAAGCUGUUGGCCUUUUUUCAGGGAUAUCAAGCUUACCUUCUUCCUCGUGUGAAGGUCCUUUUAUAUAGUGUCAGAAGCUCUGCCUCCCUCUUUAAUGGGGGGAAGACUUUUUGGCUUGUCAUGAUGUCCUCAAGGUGGUGGCAGGGCCAUCAUCACCCUGCAGGCGGCUGUUAGAGAUCGUGGGAGGUGACUUGCCAUCGCUCCUGUCCUUUCGCUCUACAGGCGGCAGAACGUGGGCUGUGGCAGGCUGUCGGGGAUGACUCAGCAAGGCUUGCUUGCUACAGUCAAUGAUCUGGAUAAUAGGCCCGGGUAGGAUAGAGCAUUGCCCGGGUAUGAUAUCUGAGAGUGUCGUGUGCCUCCCCUGGGGAGUCCGGAUAGGGGCGCGCCACGUGUCCUCUUGGGGAGUUCGGAUGGAGUUGCUCCGGAUAGCGAUGGGCGCCACGUGUUAUCAGGGGGAGGGGUCCCUACAGUGACUAUUAGUUGAUUCACCGGAAAUUCACCCGCGUUGGGGAAGGCGUGUAGAGACUGACCUUGCUGAAUCUUGAAGGAGUAGUAGUCGCAAGAUUCUGAAGAUGGAGGGCCGCAUCAUCCUUAGCGGGAAAAAGGUUGUUUGAAGGGAUAAAAAAAAUAGAGAGUUUUGAGAGUGUAAGAGAGGUGCAAGGUGCAGCCGCACUCUUUAGGAAUUCUUUUGGAACAACCACAUCUUUGAGGAACUUUCAACAUCACCCACACCUUUGAGAGAACUUUUGGAACAACCACAUCUUUGAGGAACGACCAGCUGCACCCUUCUUAGGACACUUUCAGUAUAGAUCAGAAGAGAGGGUGACACCAAAUGGGAAGGAGAUCAGCAGCCGCACUAUUGAGAGGACAAUUUCUGAAUCAGCCGCACUGUUGAGAGGACUUCCGGAGCAGCUGCACCAUUGGAAGAAAGGAAACAUUCAGCCGUGCUCCUAGGCUUCAAAGACCACCAAGAAGAAGUCUUCAGCUACGGUGCAUGGGCAGCCACCACACCAUGCAUCCUUCGCAACGAUUCUUUUAAAAUAAAAAAAUAGAAAUCCUACUAGUGGAAAGUGACCUACACGUUUCGGAAAAGGUGAAUUUAUUCUUCCUAUUUCAAUUUUGAUUCAUGAAAUAUUCAGUUCAAUGCAUAAUUGUUUUAGAGUUUUAUCUAUUUAGUUUAAUUAUUUCUAAUAUCAAUAUAUUUUUUGAUGACAAUUUAUUAUUUUUAAAAUUAUUCCCAUUCAAUCUUUGUAUUUUAAAUUUUUAUUGUAAAUUCAUGUUUAGCUUAGAUGUUAAUCUUUAAUUUAUUUUUUUUAAUUUUUCUUAUCUAAAAUAAAUUAAUUAUUGAUUCAUUAUUCUAGCUUGAAGAUUAUGAUUUUUGUUUAAUGUAGUUACAAUUUAUUAUUCUUAGUUUGACAAUAUAGAUUUUUUAAAUAUUGGUUUGGGCAAUUUCUGUUGAUAAUGGAAAGGUUAGGAUUUUUUAAGAGUUUGAGCAAUUCAUGAUGAUGGUUUAAAAUUUAGAAUUUUGAUUAGCAUUAUUAUUAUUAUUUUUUUUCUCAAUUAGGAAAUUCAUAAUUUUAUUUAAUUUAGUUUUAAUUUAUCUUUUAGUUUAGAUGUUAUUAAAAUUUUAGUUUAUUAUUUCAAUUGAUUCCAUGCCACUUUUUUCAUAUCCAAAGGUUGUUAAUUUUAAUUCAUGAUUUAUCCUUUUAGUUUUAGAAUUUAAGUUGGUUAAUUUAUUUUGUUUUGUGUUGAUAUAUUCAUGUUUUAAUAAAUAAAUAACUAAAUAUAUAUAUACUCUAGUUUUGAUUGAUCUUGUUUUAGUUGAUAUUUUUAGAAUUUUAAUUAUUAUUAUUAUUAUUUAUUUAUUUUUUGUGGAAUUAUUAUUAUAUUGUAUUGUUUAACUAACAUCACUAGCUCCAGCUGAAUCUCUUUAAAUAUGGCAACAUUUAACUUUUAUAUAUAUGGGUUUGCACGUUACAGCGAAGGUUUGAUUGGUUUUAGUGGAAUUAUUAUUAUAUUGUGUGAUUUGACUUUAUUUACUAACUCCAUGCAUUUUUUGUUUUAAUAUGGCAACAUGCGAAUUGUGUUUAGGGUUAGUUUUUGAUUUAUUAUAUUAAAUUCGGAAAAUAUAUUUUUUUAUGUAGUUUUGCUUUAAGAAAAAAAAAAUAUAAUUUGAUUUUUAUUUAAUUUAGUUUUGAUUCAUUUAAUUAUUAGUUGUUAUUUAUUUAUUUGCUACUAAUAUAAUGCUUUGUAACUUAUUUAUUUAUUUAUUAAUGAGAUUGAACCUAUGGGUUAAAAAUUUAGUUUAAAAUAAAAAUAAAAAAAUCUAUUGAAGGUGGUUUGAAUUGGCUUUAAUUUUUAAUUCAUUUUAAGCUUAGAUUUCAUCUUUAUAACGUAAGUUUAUUUAGAAAAUUGAUUCCAUUAAUUCAUGUUUUUUUUAUAUUAAUUAUAUCAUUUAUUUAUGUGUUGUCUAUUUAUCUAUAUGUCAAUAAAAUUAAUUCUAUAGGUUAGAGAUCUCAUUUUAAAAUAUAAUAUGGUUAGUGUUUUUGUUUAACUUCAGGUUUAGGUGCUCUUGUAAAAUUUUUGUUUCUUAAAAUAAUUAAUAUUAAGUGUUAAAUAUUUGAUUUUAUACUUGCCUUUAUUAGUGUUAAAAAUAUAUAUAUUUUUUAAGCCUAGAUUUCAUUUUAAUAAUGUAAGUUUAUUUCGAAAUUAGAUUCCCUGAAUCCAUAUGUUGUUUUAGUUUCCUUUCGUUAAAUUGAUUCAUUUUAAUUAUUUUAGGAGUUUGUAUAAUUUUAGGUCAUUAAUAAAAUCAAUUCUAUAUUUGAAAAUUCAUGCCUUUAGUUUACUCUGAUUUAGUUUCACACAUUUAUUCGAUUUAGGUAUUUUAUAUAAGAUUAGUUCAUUAAUAAAGUUAAUUCUAUGUUUGAAAAUUAUUGUUUGCUUUGAUUUAAUUUGGCUCAUUUUUAUCAAUCUAGAUGCAUUUGUGUGUUUAAUUGAUCUCAUGCUAAUUCUUGAUUGUUAUUCUUAAUUGAUGUGUUUCUUGAAUAUUCGUUAUUAAUUCUUAGUGGGUAUCUCAUUAGCUUAUUUGAUCUAAGUUUGAAUAGUUUAUUGCUUUGGUAGUCUCUAGUAAAAUUUACUUUUCGGAAGCCAUCGGAAAAUAGUGAAGAUUGGUCUCCAUUCUCACCACUUCAAUUUUCUCGGUUAUCAAAAAUUUUACUUUGUGAUUUUGUUCUUUCUUUUUGUUUUGCUUGGUAUUUUGAUUCACACGUUUUAUUGUUUUCAAAUUAAUUUCUUUUAUUUUUAAAACAUAACACUAUUCUCAAAAGAUCCCUUUAAAAAUUCAUUUCAAAAAUUCAUUUAGAGUUCUUAGAAUCAAAAUCUCAUUCCCUUUAAAAAUCCAUUUAAAAAAUUCAUUUUCUCAAAUAAUGUGCAACCAUGUUUUGAUCGGUUUGCAUCUUUCUUAAAUUUCAAAUAAAAUUACAAUUUUGAGUAAGACAUUAAUCCAAGCUUGUGGUCCCAAAAAAAAAAGAAAAAAGGAUAAUUCUAGGCUAGAUUUAUGUAUAUCAAUCGAGGAAUUGGUGAAACCCUUACAUAAGGAAAAUUUUCAAAACUCAUCUUUGUUACCCCCUUUGCUAUUUGAGGAACUCAUGUCUAUCUAUUUUUUUUAGGAAUUAUAUAGAAGAUAUAAGUGAUAAUUGAUGGUUUCGUAUACUGUGAUAAUUUUUUUUUCUAUGCUAAUUAGAUAACAAGCACGUUACAAGUUAUCUAUGCUAUCCAGGUACGUCUCCUGUCACCUACCUUCUAAAUUCUGCAAAUAUGAUUGUGUAGACCCCCCCCUAGGGCUGCGAAGCAGGGAGGAGUUUCUUUGUUUUUUUUUUUUUUUUUUUUUUUCUCAGGCGGCUGAUGGGAGGUUGGCUCGAGCAGAGAAGUGCGGCUGAUGGGAGAGGCAGCAGGGAGGCUUGCGGGAGAAGCCAAAGGAAGCUAAAAAGAAAAGAGUUGAGGGAAGAAAGAGGGAGGAGAAAUUAGCAACUGAGAGGAACAGAGGGGAGGCGUAGCUGUUUUUAGAGAAGACGAGGGAGGAUCUCCAAGUAAGUUUAUCAUGGUUUUCCAGUCUUUUUCUUAUUAUCAUAAUUUAUCCAUUACUCUUCCUGCUACUUCUGGGUAUUGUUUGAUGGCUUGAGUGUGGAUACCUUCAUUGUUUGAUUUCUACUGAUUUUAUGGGAUGAAUGUGGAUUUAUUGUUAUAGCUUUUUGUCUCUCUUUCCUCUUGGGUUUUGCUAGAAGAUGACCUCACUAUGCUUCAAUUCCACUGUGAAAAUGCUUGAGAAUUGUGUUUUGUUCAUAUCGACAUGGAUUUUCCUACCUAGUUAGCAGGCUCACUGUCGACCCAUGAAGUGAAGCUUUAACUGAAAAUAUUUUAGCCUGUUCUCUUUGUGCUCUGUUUUCAUGCAUUCUUCAUUGUCGAGGCCGCUUCUAUUCUUGGAUCUUGUUCAUUAUGUGGGCUUUGAGAAGAGAAGUUUAGUUUGAGAGAGGAAUUUUGUUGGAAGGAAGAAUCAAGUUUGAGGACAGAGAGGGAAACAAGCUGAGAGACAUUCUUCAGGGGGGAGUUUCUGUUAGAGAGAGAGGCAGCUGCGUGAGGCUUUUUGAGUGCUACCUGGAGAUAUUUGCUGGGAUUCUGGCAGAGAGCGAGAAGGGAGGUUUCUGUUAGCUAGGGGGCAGUUUUUUUGCCUGAGGGCAAGUUGUAGGGAAGAGGGGGAGAGGAAGAAAAGGAAAACGGGUAGCAGCUGAGAGGAUUUGUGAGGAGAAUAGGAUGCACAGUUGAAUGACAUGCAGCCAUGGAACUCCGUGCCUUUGAUUUUGGUGUGCUUUAAUGGAGGAAUUAUUUUUUUAAUGAGAGAACUCACAUGUGGCUGUUCAAUGGCUGAAAUUUUUCAAAAAAAAAGUCAAUGAGUUAAAGUGGUUGUACAUGGAGAAAUUAAUGGUUGAAAUUCAAACGGGUGUACGUGGUGGGUUUUUGGAAAUUCAAUGAUGAAUAUUCAAGGCAUUUGAUAGUGCACAUCAACUAGUGAGUCGGCAAUCCGGAUGCAUAGUUUUUGGUUUGUUUUUAUUAAUUUCACUUGCUUUUCAUAUUUUAAUUUUUCUUUUAAUAGAAAAUUGUUCGAGUGACUUUGGUUUGCUUUUAAAGAUCGAUUUUAAAUUCUACUUUAAUGUUUAAUUCUUUAACUUCUUUUAAUUCAUCCUUAACAUUCCUAAUUUACUAAAAUCCAAUCUUAAUAAAUCAUUUGUUAUUGUAUUUCUUUUCCACUUAUGCAUGAAUUGCAUGGUCACCUUUUAGGCCACGUGUCACCUACUGUUUCAACAUCUUCGACUCAAACCCUCUUUUGUAAAUAAUUUUUAAAUUAUGUUUUUUUAAAUAAUCCUAAAAUCUAGUUUUUUUAAUUUUUUUUUUCUUUUUCAAAUAACUUCAAUUUUUUUUUAAUUUCAUCAUUAGAGUUUUUAGGUCCCGAAAAUCCGUUUUCCAAUAAAAUUCGUUGCCACUUUUCUUCGGCAUACAUUUUUCGUUACUUCCAUGCUUUUAAAAUAUUUUAAAAUAAGCAUAGAUUCAAUUCCGUAAUUCCGAAUAAUGGGGUUUAUGGAAUUAAUUCAUGCAAAAUAAACGGGCUUUGGUGGGGGCCCCACAUAUGUGAUUUAUGAUUGAUUAACUGAUUGAUUGAUUUAAUUUCCAUGCAUGAUUGAUUUAUUCUGCUCUAUGACAUGCUCGAAAUUAUUUCUUAAUUGUGCACUAACCUCUCUCUUGAUAGCGCAUGGUGGCUCGUCGCCCAGGUACGCACCUACUUUCACUCUGGUAAUUGUCCAAGCAUAUUUUGAUUCUCACGUGUGCAUGAUUUAUUCUGGGUACUCAUUGAUCUACUCGUCCAUUGCCAUGAUUGCUUCAUUUUAUUAGUAGAGACCCGUUUUUAGGGACUUAGAAGGGUGCUACGGUUUUUACUGUGCCUUCCUGAUAAGUAACCUGACCCCCGAACCCGAUUCGAUUUUUCACAGACCACCUUUUCCAAAGUAAGGAGUCACACUUAGGGUUUUUCUUUCUUAUUUUGUUUACCCCCUUAAAAAUAAAACAAAAAUAAGUGGCGACUCCAAGUCAUUUUCGAAUAAUCAAUAAAUCAUUUUUUUUCAAAAUGAAAAUCGAGCUCGCCUUCGAGUGGGAAACGCAUGAGCCGAAAUGCGAGGUCCACAAAAUGGCGACUCCGCUGGGGAUUUUUUUUAGAGGGUCAAGCUUGAACUUAGAGUGAAGCAAACGUGGCAUUUGAUUGGACGAUCAGUGGAUGCUCAUCUCUUGAUUGUACAUUGAGGAUUUCUUGAUGCAUGCUUAGAUGUCGUAUUCAUUUGAGAUUUUGACAUGCUGGAUUAUUGAUGAUUGAUCUUAUUGCAUUGCUUAGCGUAUUGAUUCUGAUUUUGGCAUAAUUGUUCUGAUCACUUCACAUGCAUACACUCACCAUUGUAUAUCACUUAUCUUGACAUGUUGAUUCUCUGACUUGUAUACUAUUUUGAUCGUCUUUGAGCGGGAUGUUUGUGUCACUAUUCGUCUUGAUUGUCGUAUUCUCGUUUAUCUUGUGUGUACAUGAUGAUAUACAUGAGCUUUGCCUGAUUGUAUGUUGCAUGACUGCCAUUUUUCUGUGUGAUUGCAUGUCGUCUGUCUAUGUGGGUCUCACUUCUAUCCCCCUACAUCCAACUCUCUUGGUUUCGGUCAUCCCUUUCAUCUCGGUUCUCACUAUUGCAAGUGUGAGACCUUAUGUGUGCUUGCUCCCUGACCGAGCCAGAGAUUAGGAGUAGGGUCUAGCGACGGGCUAUAUCGAUGUACGGGAGCAUUCCGGAGGAGGGCGACACUUUGAUGUCGAUUGGAGUCCGAUCAUUGAAGACCUGUAUAGCCCCAAGCUAGGUUUCAUGGAUAGUUGUGCGACCAGUGUGUUUCCUCUUCUGCUUUAGAUUCUUAGGUUUUUCGGAUGCACCCACACCAUUCACUGUGCACUUUAGUUGACCAUUGAGCGUUGAGAGUUUGAGAGGUUUCACCAUAGGAAACCCCCUGGGAUGUCGAGGUAGUGCAUGUGUGGAGGUGAUGACCACCUUGCAUGGAAGCACCCCGUCUUUUUUUUUUUAGGAAUGCAGAUGGUUGCGUACCGCCGGAGGGUACGAUCGCUUCUGCUAGGGAUCUUUUAAAGUCCACCUAUCUCCUUUUAGAGCCACCUUGACCUUAUAGUUUGAGCCUUAGACAUUUCAAUUAGGACUCCCUCCCUACACGUGGGUGCAUCCGUGGGCCUUCAGAGCCGGUUCAGUAGUAACAGGUUUGGUUACCUUAGCAGUAGUCUCUUAUAUAUCUGCUCAGGGUUGGAUAUCAGUUUGUUUGCUUCCAGGCUACCUUUUGACACAUUUGAUAGACAUUCUUUGUGAAGUUUCCCUUACCCCGCACCUUAUCUAGUAUUUUCACUAUUGUAGGAGUACCGAUACGUUCAGUCUGGGAUCGACUUCUUGGAUUAGAGUUGGGGGUAGAUUGAUCAGGGUAUCGGACCAGUUAGACCAGAGAUCAAAUCAGAGGGAUAUGGAUUCACAGAUAGUUACCGUCGAUCAGUUCGCUGAGGCCAUGGCUUCGAUUCAGGAGGCUAUAGCUAGCCUUGGCCGGAGGAUAGAUGGGCAACAGGCCCAGCAGGUCCCGCCCCCGGUUGGUGCCCAGUAUGACCCUACAGUGCCACCACCUCCUCCACCCAGUCAGUCAGCGCCACAGACCAUGCCGUUCACUCUGCAUAGUCAGAACGGGGUUGCCCCGCCUCCCAUCACCGUGCCCACCUCGACCUCAGAGGACCCACAUGCUCGCAUGGAUAGACUUGAGCAGGGUUUGAGACAGUUGAGGGCUUCAGACAGAGCCACUACUUGGGAGGGUUUUGAUGGAGUGUCGGUAGCUAGCUUGCCGGCUAAGUUUAGGAUGCCUGACAUUGAGAGGUAUACUGGCAUUGGUUGUCCACGCCUCCAUCUCCGAUUAUACAGCACCAUGAUGAGGGCUCAUGGACUGGACGAGCCUCAGAUGAUUACUCUUUUCCCACUAUCUUUAAGUGGGGCGGCCCAGCGUUGGUUUGCAUCUUUGGAGGCCUCGAGGCGCCGCACAUGGGACGACUUGGCCCAGGAGUUCCUACGACAGUUUUCGUUUAACACUGUCGUAGACGUAUCGAGGAGAGAGCUAGAGGCUCUUAGGCAGAGAUCGAACGAGUCAGUUUCUUCGUUCGUUUCCCGCUGGCGCGGGAAGAUAGCUGAGAUUAUCGAUAGAACAUCAGAGAGGGACCAGAUUCAGAUGGUUUUGAGGAGCCUGCAGCCGCGGAUCGCCAGACAUGUGGUAGGGGCCCCGUUCACAGAUUUUGGGUCUCUGGUUAUGGCUCUGUACGAUGUCGAGGACGGCAUCUCGAGAGGAUUAUGGACAGAUUCUUUCCCUAGUGAUAUUAAGGGGAAGAAGCCCUUCGUAGGAUCGAGGCCGACAGAUGUGAGCAUUAUCGGUUCUUCCAAUCAGAGGCCUCUCAGGCGCCAUCAGCUGAUCCCCUAGUUUCCCGAGCCUCAUUCGUCCUAUGCAUCUCAUCAGUAUAGGCCACGGGCACCUCGUCCAGCUUAUGAUCAGACAUAUACUCCGCAGACUCUGGCUUUGCCUUAUUAUGCCUCCCAGGGCAUUGAGAGACCCUCAGUUUCCUACACGGCUACAGGACAGCUAUGCUAUGCUGCUCAGUUCACUGCGAGACUCGUAGCGUCUUAUCCCCGACCCAGAGCUCAGCAGACUUCUGCUCCCUUUGCUUUGAGGGCGUAGAGGCAGUUCUCACAGAUAGGCAUGCCGUUGAGCCAGGCUCUUCGGAAGCUUACAGAGGCUGGGUUAUUGACUACUCUCACCCCUCGGCCGCCGCCUCAGCCGAUUCCACCUCAGUUCAGGAUGGAUCUACACUGUGCAUACCAUCAGGGGCCUGGACAUGAGACCGAUCGAUGCACCGCUUUGAGGCAUGCCGUUCAGGAUUUGAUCGACCAGGGUUUGGUACACUUGGGUCAGCUGAGUGUGACCACGAACCCGUUGCCUGCUCACACCACACAUGCAGUCCCUCCACCAGCCGAUGACAUUCAUUUCUUAGAGUUUGAUGAGAUCGAUGACCACAUCCACAUGCUGAGUGAUGAUGAUUCAGACCUAGAGCUCAUCAUGCCAAGUGUGAUUUAUGAGAUGAGUGGGGUGACACUGGGUCCUCGGACGCCUGCUCCAUUCCGAUUAGUGCCCGAGGCGGCAUCAGUGCAGGCUGCCACCGUUGAGCCAUUGAUUUUACCGCAUUACAGUGUCCGGACACCUUUCAUCUUGAUUCCGGAUGUUGAGGAGGUUCAGGCUCCGUGCGUUGAUGACUCUCAGACUCUGGACAUUCAGUAUGUUCUCCGAGGAGGCAGAGUGAUGCGACAGCCACCUCCCGCGGCAACUAGGCCAGUUGAGGGUACGUCCGCUCCUGAGGAGGUCAGAGCCGAGGACGAUGAGAUCUUGAGACAGUUGCAGAGCACUCAGGCUCGUAUUUCCAUUUGGAGCCUGUUGGCGUCCUCGAGCACUCAUCGUGAUGCUCUGAUUCGGGCUUUGAGCCAGAUCCGAGUCGAGACUACCACCUCCCCCCAGGAAUUGAUCCAUAUGAUGACGGCCGGCAGAGCCACUUGCAUCGUCUUUUCCGAUGAUGACUUGCCACCAGAGGGUUCAGACCAUACGUGUCCUCUCUAUAUAUCUGUUGGCUUUUCAGGUCGUUGAGUUCCAUCUAUCCUUCUGGACAAUGGCUCGACCCUGAACGUAUGUCCUCUGGCCACUGCCAUCGCUCUUGGAUACGCUCCUUCUGAUUUCAGUCCCUCAACUCAGACCGUCCGAGCUUAUGACAGUACUCGGAGGGAGGCAUGGGUACAUUGGAGAUCGAGUUGCUGAUUGGUCCAUCCACUUUUGUUGCCGUGUUUCAGGUUUUGAGGAUUCCUACAUCCUUUAACCUGCUUCUAGGCCGACCAUGGAUUCACCGAGCUGGAGCCAUUCCUUCUUCACUUCAUCAGAAAGUGAAGUUCAUCCAUGAUGGUCAGGUCGUCGUGGUACAGUCUGUGGGGGACAUGUUCAUUACUGCCGAGCCUAUGCUCGAGAUUAGUCACACUGAUGACGACAUUUUUCUGACUGGAUUCACUUUCGAUGAGGUGCAGACUGUGGAGAUAGAGAAUUUCUGUCGGGAUUUUGUGGCCAUGUCCUUUGACCAGCAUGGGAGCACAGUGGUGCUCGAUAUUAUGCGGAGCAUGUCCUAUCUACCCGGCAUGGGGUUGGGCCGAUGUCAGCAUGGACCGAGCGAGUUCAUCACCAUUCCUGAUCAUGACGUACCAUUUGGGCUUGGGUUCAUCCCCACCGAGGCUAACUAUCGAUACAUGGCGCGUUUGCGCAAGGAGAGAGUGAGGGCUCGGCUGACCCACACGCCUUUCGACUAUCCUUUUCGCCUAUACACCAGGAGCUUAUCUGAUUACUUUGUGAGGGCAUCGGAGUCACAUGUACCAUCUGAUGGGAUCAUUGGAGGACUCAGCACCACCUAGGAGGCCGAGCUUCAGCGCCUCGUCCAGCAGUUACAGUUGAGUGACGGAGCCCCUGGCCCUUCGGCUUCUGUGUUGAUUGCUCCUCCCUCCCCAGAUCGCACGAGCCUUAUGACGCUUUGCUUCCCGGAUGAGAUCGAUGAUCACGGGACUUUUGCCGAGAUUGGAGACGUAGUGGAUGGAGCCGUGCCGCGUGACGAGUACGUUGAUGAGAUGCUCGCGAUGAGCUUGAGCCAGACCGAGGAGAUAGCCCCGUCGGAGCUCGCUUCACCAUUUGAUCUCUUCGGGGUGUCCGUCCUCGAGAUCGCCUAGGAGAUCCAGGUUGCCCCCACUCCAGAGGUCGUCGAGGAUGUUAUAGUUGCUGUUGAUUUGUUUGAUGGCCCUGUUGGCCUAGUUGAGGGAGCGUCCGACCUUGUGGACCCACCUCUCACCUUUGAUGUUUUAUCGGGAUUUGUCUCCCGUCAUGACUAUGUUUCUGACUUUUCAUCUAUGGAUUUGAGCACCUUUGAGUAUUUGCCUGUCUCUCAUGUUAUUGAUUUAGCUGCACCAUCUUCACCCACAUCACAGUUUUUUGACAUUGAUGAUGAGAUUGCGCAGCACGACUCAGACGAUGACUCGUCUUCUGCUUCCGAUUCAGACCCCGUUGAUCAGAGAGUUUCACCUGCUGUAGGGGACACUGAGAUUGUUGACUUUGGCACGGUAGAUCAGCCUAGGGAGUUGAGGAUCGAAUCAGAUUUGUCUACAGAUGAGAGAGAUAGCCUCAUCCAGCUACUCAGAUCCUACUUGGACGUUUUCGCAUGGUCCUAUGAGGACAUGCCAGGCCUUGAUCCAUCUAUCGUCCAACAUCGUUUGCCACUUCUGCCCCAUGCCAGACCGGUUAAGCAGAAGUUGAGACGAUUGCACCCUCGUUGGAGCUUGCAGGUGAAAGAGAAGAUCCAGAAGCAACUCAGUGUAGGAUUCUUAUCAGUGGUUGAGUACCCAGAGUGGCUGGCAAAUGUCGUCCCUGUUCCCAAAAAGGACGGCAAGGUGAGAGUCUGUGUUGAUUUCCGAGAUCUCAACAAGGCCAGUCCUAAGGAUGAUUUUCCUCUUCCACACAUCGACAUGCUAGUUGACAAUACGGCAAGUCAUUCGAUGUUGUCCUUUAUGGACGGAUUUUUCGGGUACAGUCAGAUCUUGAUGGCUCCAGAGGACAUGGAGAAGACGUCCUUCAUUACCGAGUGGGGUAAUUAUUGCUAUAGAGUCAUGCCAUUCGGAUUGAAGAACGCAGGAGCCACCUAUCAGAGAGCAGCGACCACCCUCUUCCAUGACAUGAUGCAUUGGGAUGUCGAGGUUUAUGUAGACGACAUGAUAGUGAAAUCCUGAGGUAGAUCAGAUCAUUUAGCAGCUCUGGAGAGAUUCUUUGAGAGGAUCCGACAGUUCAGGUUGAGACUGAAUCCCAAGAAGUGCACUUUCGGAGUGACUUCUGGGAAACUCUUGGGAUACAUGGUCAGUGAGCGAGGCAUAGAGGUAGAUCCGGACAAGAUUAGAGCCAUUCUUGACAUGCCUGCGCCGAGGAUAGAGAGAGAGGUCAGAGGCUUCCUAGGCAGACUUCAGUACAUCAGUAGAUUCAUAGCCAGAUUGACAGACAUCUGCGAGCCCAUAUUUCGACUCUUGAGGAAGAGUCAACCUACUGUUUGGGAUGACUAGUGCCAGCGUGCCUUCGAGAGGAUCAGAGAGUACUUGUUGUCACCUCCUGUUUUGGCGCCUCCUACACCAGGUCGUCCUCUACUCUUAUACUUGUCCGUAUCAGACGUGGCCUUGGGUUGCAUGUUAGCUCAGCUCGAUGAUUCGGGCAAUGAUCGAGCCAUUUACUAUUUGAGUAAGAGGAUGUUAGACUACGAGACGAGGUAUGUCAUGAUUGAGCGUUAUUGUUUGGCAUUGGUUUGGGCCACUCGCCGGUUGAGACAUUACAUGACCGAGUAUUCCGUGCAUUUGAUAUCUCGCUUGGAUCCUCUGAGAUAUUUGUUUGAUAGACCCACUCUGGUUGGUCGCCUCAUGAGAUGGUUGGUACUUCUGACUGAGUUUGACAUCCAUUAUGUCACUCAGAAGUCCAUCAGAGGGAGCAUUGUAGCAGAUCAUCUAGCCUCAUUACCAGUUUCUGAUGCCAGAGCUAUUGACGAUGAUUUUCCAGACGAGGAUGUCGCUGCUGUGACUAGUCUGUCAGGUUGGCGCAUGUACUUUGAUGGUGCAGCCAACCAUUCUGGAUACGGGAUAGGCGUCCUGUUGAUAUCCCCUCAUGGUGAUCACAUUCCCAGAUCUGUUCGGUUGGCAUUCUUGGAUCGACAUCCUACCACGAACAACAUUGUUGAGUAUGAGGUUUGUAUCUUGGGAUUAGAGACAGCCCUCGAGCUCGGGAUUAGACAGAUGGAGGUGUUUGGUGACUCCAAUCUAGUGUUGAGACAGAUUCAGGGCGAGUGGAAGACUAGAGAUGUGAAACUUAGGCCUUAUCAUGCAUAUUUGGAGCUACUGGUUGGGAGAUUUGAUGAUUUGAGAUAUACCCAUCUGCUUAGAGCGCAGAACCAGUUUGCUGAUGCUUUAGCUACUCUAGCUUCCAUGAUCGAUAUUCCCGUUGACGCCACUGUUCGACCUUUGUUGAUCGAGUCGAGAUCUGCUCCUGCUUACUGUUGCCUGAUCGAUGAUGUAGAGCCAAAUGAUGGUUUGCCAUGGUAUCACGACAUAUAUCACUUUUUGAGACUCGGCGUAUAUCUUGAGGCCGCCACGGCCAAGGAUAAGAGAGCAUUGAGACAGUUGGCCACUCGAUUCGUGAUUUACGGCGAGACACUAUACAGGCGAUCACCUGACGGGAUGCUAUUAUUGUGUUUGGACCGCGCCUCUGCCGAUCGGGUGAUGAGAGAGGUUCAUGCGGGAGUCUGCGGACCACAUAUGGGAGGACAUAUGUUGGCUCGUAAGAUCAUGAGGACAGGAUACUUCUGGUUGACCAUGGAGACAGAUUGUUGCCAGUUUUUUCAGAGGUGUCCCGAGUAUCAGAUACACGGAGAUCUCAUUCACGUGCCGCCCUCCGAGCUGCACGCACUGACUUCACCAUGGCCAUUUUCCGUCUGGGGUAUUGAUAUCAUCAGGAAGAUUUCACUGAAAUCUUCCAGUGGUCAUGAGUUCAUCCUGGUCGCCAUCGAUUACUUCACCAAGUGGGUGGAGGCUGCCUCAUAUGCGAGAUUGACAUCAGCUGGAGUCGCUAGUUUCAUCAGAUCACACAUUAUCUGUCGCUAUGGAGUCCCUCAUGAGUUGAUUUCAGAUAAAGGAGUACAUUUCAGAGCAGAGGUUGACACAUUAGUACAGAGAUACAGCAUCCGGCAUCAUAGAUCGUCUGCGUACAGGCCGCAGACGAAUGGGGCAGUAGAGGCCGCGAAUAAGAAUAUCAAGAGGAUAUUACGGAGGAUGGUCGAGACUUCUCGGGAUUGGUCAGAGAAGCUCCCAUUUGCAUUGUGGGCUUAUCGGACUUCUUUUCGCACCUCUACAGGUGCCACACCCUACUCCUUGGUAUAUGGCAUGGAGGCGAUGCUACCUGUUGAGAUUGAGAUGGGUUCGUUGAGAGUAGCACUAGAGUAGCAGAUUCCCGAGGCAGAUUGGGCUCAGGCUCAAUUUGAUUAGCUCAAUCUCCUAGAUUAGAGGAGAUUGAGAGCAGCAGACCAUGUUCGUGCGUAUCAGAGGAAGAUGGCCCGCGCUUUCAAAAAGCGGGUCAGGCCUAGACCAUUACGGAUAGGUGACUUGGUUCUGAAAGUCAUCAGGGGAUUGAUCAGAGAUCCUAGAGGGAAGUUCAGACCCAAUUGGAGCGGACCUUAUUUCAUCAGGGAGUUGACCCCAGAAGGCGCUGCAUGGUUGAUGGAUUUAGAUGGAAACCGAUUCUCAGAGCCAACCAAUGUGGAUCAGCUAAAGAGGUACUAUGUUUGAGACCAUGGUCGCAGGAUGGGUGACCAUCAUUUCGGUUAGCCAUUACCUUGUUAUUUCUUUUGAUACAUAGUCCGUUGCUAGCCCAUUGAGCCUCGCAUACGCAUUAUAGCCUUUCUUUCUUAUCGCCUUGCUCACAUUUUCACACCGGGAUAGGGGCCCUUUAAUGUAUGCAUGCAUUGUUUGGUAGUUUCAUGAGCUUUGGACCUAGAGGCAUGUUUUUCUCAUUAUCUUUUUCUAUCACUGCACCUCUGCAUUUUCAUCUCAUCUUAUUGGUUAUGUUAUUCAUCUCUUCUUCCUUAUCCUAUCUAUUAUUUGUUUGUUUCAUAGUUCUCUUCACCCUGGGUGGUGAGCCUCCUCAGUUCAUCACAUGGAGGAUAGUCACAUCAUUUCCACCAUCUAUCUCACAGACAUUGGUUUAGAGAUCCUUAGUUUGAGAAAGUCAUCUCGUUAGAGAGAGUUUUGGGUUGCCUUAGCACUUGGGUCGGUGUCUGUCCGUUAUCGACAUCACCUUUGGGGUUCAUUUGUUCAUGUUCAGGGUAUGUGUAUUUGUAUAUAUGUAAAAAAAAAAAAAAAAAAAAAAAAAAAAAGAGAAAAGAGAAAAGAAAAGAAAGAAAAAAAUCAUUAUUAUUAUUAUUAGCACAUGUGUGUAUGUGCAUAGUGUUCUUGAUCAUUGGGUAUGUAUAUUGAUGUCUGGAGGUCAUUUUUAUCGAGUAUGUUCGUUAUUGGGAGUUCGUAUGUGAGCUCUCUGAGAUCCUAUGUUAUUUGUAUUGCUUCGUCAUAUCUAUUUGUGAGAGAGAUGAGUGACCUUCUCCUAAGGACUCCGAGUCAUUGUCCUUCCCAUCAUUACAUUCAUUAUUGAUGUGACUUCACUUCAUGUUUGAUCUGAGUCGAUCACUACCUUUCUUCACAUAUCCAUUGUUUCGCUGUCGUUUUUAUCGUUGCUUGUGAUUCAUCUCAUUCCCUUCACAUCUUAUUCUCCCCUUACAGCGACCCAUCUCGGGUUCGAUACUUCGCAUCAUCAUUACACAUAUCACUACCAGUUCAUUUUGCUUCAUUUGUCUCCUUAUCGAUAUCAUAUUCACGUUAGGCAUUCUCGGGUCCAUGGCUCAUGGGGUUCACUAUACAUGUUGCAUUUCAUAUAUGAGGGCAUGAGUUUUGAUCAUUGGGUAUUUGAGCCUAGUUUCCUUUCAUUUCUAUCACCCUAUCACCUUGGCCUACGUUACGUCCCGUGUCUUAAGACCACCCUGAGGCCAUGGGAUCAGAUGUCGUCUUCGACAGCCUCUACUUGGACAGGUGAUUGAGGUUUGGUUGAUGUUUAGAUAUCGCCAUGCUUCUUCUUCUGGGAGUCGCCUCUUUGAUGUGUAGGUCUGAUUCAGUUGUGUUCGGAUUACCAGGAUCGUGAGUUUGAUGAUGAUUGAUUUGGUGUCACCUGAUUUUUUGACCUAUCAUACCUCUGGUGCCACACUGGGGCAUAUCCCAUUUCAUUUGGAGGUUCAUGGAUCCUCACGGGCUUGCGCCAUCAUCACUUACUGGAUGCUCAUCGAGACGUGGACAUGAUCGUUACCUUACGGAGCCUCUGAGAUCCACCAAGCCAGGUCCGCACUUCUCGACACUUGGAUGCCAUCAUGCCUCUCCAUCUGGGAGAUACAUUUUGGAUAUGUGUGCAUGAUUCAGUUAUGGAUUCAGAUGACCAUUAUUACAUGUUCGAUGACAGAUGAUUUCUUGUCGCUUGAUUUCUGACCUGUCGUGCAUCCGAUGCCCAUACUGGGGCAUAUUUUCCGUUUCGGAUGAGAUUUACGGACGUUCAUAGAGGUCACAUGAGCGAUGAUGGAUGUUUUCAUGACAUUUGUUCUUCGGACCUGUCGCGCACCUGAUGCCAUACUGGGGCAUAUUUCGUUUCGGAUGAUCUUUAUGGAUCUUCGCAGAGGUCACAGGUUCGAGGAUAGAUGAUUCCAUGCUAUCUGAUCUCCGACCUAUCAUACAUUUCGAUGCCAUAUAGGGGCAUAUUUCGAUUCGGAUGAGAUUUACAGAUCAUGAGCGAGUCACGUGCUUAUCCUUAUUUGGCGAGAUGUAUGCAGAGAUGAUGAUAUAUUCGCUAUCCUCACGAUGAUUCCUUAGUGGAGCCUAUCGAGAGCCAUCUAGCCAGGCAGGGAUGACCUGAGCUCAUCUGAUUUUUCGACGUAUUGCAUUCUCGAUGCCACAUUGGGGCACAUUCCCCAUCUUGAUCGAGAUUUAUAGAUCCCCACUGGUUUACAUGAUCAUCCACGGUUAUGAGAUACACGCCAGGUCGAUGUUUGAUUUCAUUUUGUCCGGAUACUCCGAGGAGCCUCUCUUGAGUCAUUCAGCCAGGUUCAUACCCUUUGAUAUAGCCGUGAUUCCUGGAUGGAGUUGUCUCUGGUGCCUGGAUUUCCCACGUCAUCAUUCCAGAGGGGUACAUAUCAGAUCUGUUAUGCAUCCCAUUGGUGUUAUUCUCGGGUCAUCAAGACAGAUCGGGUACAUCUAAUGUCAUACUAGGGCAUAUUGCCUUCAUUUAGCCCUGGAGGCGAUCGUUCUCUCACAUAUCCGUUAUAGUUUCCAUCACUCGAUCGAGAUAUAUUGUAUUCGCCUCAUUGACCAUUAUUCCUGAGCUUUUCAUCGAUAUGAGCUCUUAGCGGAGCAUCGUUCGAGACUCGUAGAGUCCCUUUCAGCCAUUUCUAGCGGAUUGAGAUUUGCAGCGGCAUAUCACACUGGGGCAUACCCCCAUCCUUGAGUUUAUCAGGCCUUUUGUGUACUUCCUCACUACUCAAUCCAUUUCUUGAUCUUUGCGAGUCGUCAUACUGGGGCAUAUCCCCUCUAGCACUUUUCUACUGGGGCAUACCCCCUUUCUUUGGGUUUACCGUGUCUCGUGUUGAUUUCAUGGUUGUCGGACCCAUUUGUUGAUCUUUAUGAGUUAUCACAUAGGGCAUCCCCCUAUUGCCACUGUCUUUUCGUUUGGGGCAUCCCCCACUGUCUUUUACGUUUGGGGCAUCCCCCCACUGUCAUUUACGUUUGGGGCAUCCCCCACUGUCAUUUACAUUUGGGGCAUCCCCCCCCUGUCAUUUACGUUUGGGGCAUCCCCCCACUGUCAUUUACGUUUGGGGCAUCCCCCCACUGUCAUUUACGUUUGGGGCAUCCCCCCACUGUCAUUUACGUUUGGGGCAUCCCCCCACUGUCAUUUCGUUUGGGGCAUCCCCCCUACUGUCAUUUACAUUUGGGGCAUCUCCCCAUUGUUAUUUACGUUUGGGGCAUCCCUCUACUUUCAUUUCGUUUGGGGCAUCCCCCUACCGUCAUCUUGUUUAGGGCAUCCUCCUAUUUUUGGUCUGUUUAGGGCAUCCCCCUAUUUUCAGUUUGUUUAGGGCAUUCCCCUACCGUCAGUUCGCUUAGGGCAUUUCCCUUUGUUUUAGAUUUAUCACCACCGUAGGUCUUCACCUAUGGGCCUUAUCGUUUAGUGUUUAGAGUUAGCUUUUUGAUUAGGCUUCCAGAGCUAUUAUUUUUUCAGUUUGACGUUCAGAGUCACCAUCAUCACUUUUCAGUUUCGGCGUUCAGAGCCAUUAUCGGUUUUCAGCUCAAUAUUCAGAGUCAUCAUCAUCAUUUCUCAGCUCCGGCGUUCAGAGUCAUCAUCACUUUUAGGUUUCAGCGUUCAGAGCCAUCACCGUGUUUUCAGUUUCGGCGUUCAGAGCCAUCAUCGGUUUUCAGAUCGACAUUCAGAGUCGCAUCCUCGGUUUCGACGUUCAGAGUUGUUAUCACUUCUCAGUUUGACGUUCAUGGUCAUCGUCAUUACUUUUUAGUUUCGGCGUUCAGAGCCAUCAUCGGUUUUCAGAUCGACAUUCAGAGUCGCAUCCUCAGUUUCGACGUUCAGAGUCUUCAUCACUUCUCAGUUUUGGCGUUCAGAGCCAUCAUCGCUUUUCAGUUUUGGCGUUCAGAGCCAUCACUAUUUUCAGUUUUGGCGUUCAGAGCAAUCAUCGCUUUUCAGUUUUGGUGUUCAGAGCCAUCACUAUUUUCAGUUUGGCGUUUAGAGCCAUCAUCACUAUUUUCAGUUUUGGCGUUUAGAGCCAUCAUCGCUUUUCAGUUUGGCGUUCAGAGCCAUCAUCGCUUUUCAGUUUUGGCGUUCAGAGCCAUCACUAUUUUCAGUUUUGGCAUUCAGAGCCAUCAUCGCUUUUCAGUUUUGGCAUUCAGAGCCAUCAUUGCUUUUCAGUUUUGGUGUUCAGAGCCAUCACUAUUUUCAGUUUGGCGUUCAGAGCCAUCAUCACUAUUUUCAGUGUGGCGUUCAGAGCCAUCAUCGCUUAUCAGUUUUGGCGUUCAAAGCCAUCACUAUUUUCAGUUUUGGCGUUCAGAGCCAUCAUCACUAUUUUCAGUUUGGCGUUCAGAGCCAUCAUCACUAUUUUUCAGUGUGGCGUUCAGAGCCAUCAUCGCUUCUCAGUUUUGGCAUUCAUAGCCAUCACUAUUUUCGGUUUAGGCUUCCAGAGCCAUUACCGUCAUCUUGCUUAGGCUUCCAGAGCCAUUACCGUCAUCUUGCUUAGGCUUCCAGAGCCAUUACCGUCAUCUUGUUUAGGCUUCCAGAGCCAUUUCCGUCAUCUUGUUUAGACUUUCAGAGUCAUUACCGUCGUCUUAUUUAGGCUUCCAGAGCCAUCACUAUCAUCUCGUUUAGGCUUCCAGAGCCAUCACUGUCGUCUUGUUUAGGCUUCCAGAGCCAUCACUGUCGUCUGGUUUAGGCUUCCAGAGCCAUCACUGUCGUCUUGUUUAGGCUUCCAGAACUGUUAUUUUCUAGUUUAGUUUUUAGAGUUAGUUUUUGGUUAGGCUUCUAGAGCUGUUACCUUCUAGUUUAGCUUUUAAAGUUAGUUUUUGGUUAGGCUUCCAGAGCUGUUAUUUUCUAGUUUAGCUUUUAGAGUUAGUUUUUGGUUUGGCUUCUAGAGCUGUUAGUUUCUAGUUUAGCUUUUAGAGUUAGUUUUUUGUUAGGCUUCCAGAGCUGUUAUUUUCUAGUUUAGCUCUUAGAGUUAGUUUUUUUGGUUAGGCUUCCAGAGCCAUUACUGUCGUCUCGUUUAGGCUUCCAGAGCCAUCACUGUCGUCUUGUUUAGGCUUCCAGAGCCAUCACUGUCGUCUUAUUUAGGCUUCCAGAGCCAUCAUUGUCGUCUUGUUUAGGCUUCCAGAGCUGUUAUUUUCUAGUUUAGCUUUUAGAGUUAGUUUUUGGUUUGGCUUCUAGAGCUGUUAUUUCAUAGUUUAGCUUUUAGGGUUAGUCUUUUGGUUUGGCUUCCAGAGCUUUUAUUUUCUUGGUUUAGUGUUUAGAGUUAGCUUUUUGGUUUGACUUCCAGAGCUUUUAUUUUCUCAGUUUAGUGCUUAGAGUCGGUUUUGUCAUCCAGAGUCACAACUCCUGGCGUUCAUGUCCACUGGCAUUGCGCAUCUUACCUUCAGGGUUUUGCAUUCGUCCUCGGCUUUCCUCACUUCGUUAUUCUAUGCUUAUCGCCUAUUCAUCUCGUAGUCCACAUAGGAUAGUCCCCUUUGGGCGCAUUCUUGCUCGUACUCCAAGGUGGUUCGACCGUUACUCAUCUUUGACAUUGAUCUCUUGGGUCACUUUUGGAGACAUCUUAGAGAGAGUGUGGAUCCUUGGUGCAACCUGUGAGGCGUUUUGAGAUGCGCUUUUCUUUUAGGGUUAGGGCCUUUGUGUUCAUCUGUUGGCUUGAGUGAGUUCUUAUUUUACUAGUGUCCUUUUGGGGGUCUCUUUUGUUCUUCGAUAGAGUUCACUUCGUUACACUCACUAUUCACGCUUUCUUUUCAUUCCAGUAUUCAUAUUCCUUGCACUCGUGAACUCUACCGAAGAGGGGCAUAUUUUUUUUUUCUAUGCUAAUUAGAUAACAAGCACGUUACAAGUUAUCUAUGCUAUCCAGGUACGUCUCCUGUCACCUACCUUCUAAAUUCUGCAAAUAUGAUUGCCAUUAUGAAUUAUACCUAUAUUUGAGAAUGCUUGUGAUGUCUUGAUAUUUGCUACAUUGUUUGAUCAUUCAUGAUAAAACGCAUGCUGAGUGAUAUAUUAUCUAAACUAACCAUAGAUGUUUUAUGAUAGCGCUUAAGAAGUGGUCCAGGUACACAUUCUAACUUUCCUUUAUGAGCGUGAUUGGUUUUUCUUGUUUGGCAUGCUAGUUUUGAGAUCACCUUAGCCUACCUAGGUACCCUCAAUUAAUCAGUUGAUUGCCACAUUUCCUUCAACGUAGUCAGUAAAGACCUUUGUAGGGCUUAGAGGAGUGCUAUCUCCUAGAGGUACCUUCCCAAUAAGUAACCAGAUCCCCGGACCUAAACUUUGGAUUUUCAAAGACAUGCUUUUCCAAAAACUAUGGAGUCAUUUUUUAGGGUUUUAUUUCUUGUUUUAUUUUCCCUUUAAAAUAAAAUAAAAUAAGUGGUGACUCCGACUUUUCCAAAAACAACAUCUUCACCAAAUAAAAGCGAGUCUCGCCAAUUGAGUGGGGGCACACGUGAAAAAUGCGGGUCCACAAUAGUGCAUGUAAUUAUUUUAUUAGAGAGUGCAUAGCAAAGAAGGGAAUCUAAUUGAAAUUUGCAAAGUCUUGUAUGAUCAAAUUAUUGAUAUUUUUACUAAGUCUCUUAAGCCCAAAAUUUUUGUCAAUACGAAUGUUCGUCGAUAGUAAAGUUGGAGACUUGCUUCUAAUUCAUAUUCUUGCACAGUCCGUUCAAAGUAAUGUCACCCCAAAUCUUUCAAAAUCAUUUCUAUGUUUCCUUUGAUAGUUACUUGUCAACAAAAAUGGGCCGAGGAAAAAAGAUAGUUGAUAGAAAAUACUAGUUUCUUAAAUUUGGCUUAUGAUGUAAAUAUAUCUAACUGAUUUAUCGUGUAUAGAUGAUGACAUAUUAUUGACAUAGAACCAAUUCUAAUAUAUUAUUGAAAGGUCCCUAUCAAUAUUCAUCCAAUGGAAAUUGAAUCUAAGAUUUUGUUAGUUAUAAGUUGACAAUGGCUUUUAAACUCUCCAUGAUUCCUUGAAAUUCAUCUUAGAUAGGAAACUAUAAAGGGCCAUGACAUGGAAAGAUUCAUGUUCUUUGUGUUGGAUGAGGGGAAGCUUUAUUAAUGGAGGAAUGUAGACUAAAACUAUCUGUAUAAAGGUACACAAGGUUUUAAUGUGGUUCAGUCAAUCAUGCCUACCUCUACAAAUAGAAAAUAUUACAAAAGACAGAAAUAAAUAUAAUUAUUGAGCCUUGAAACAUCCCACUUUUUCAAUUUCAUCUUUCUCUCUUAACUUUUUCCGCUCAUAAUCUAGAAUAUUUAUAAAGAUAUUCUUACUACCUUUCUUUUUUUAUUUUACAAGGAAUCUAAUUACAAUUACAUAUUAAUUUAGAAAAUAUUUUAUGUAUAUUCUUUUUAUAAAAAGAAAUAUAUUUCAAUUAGAAAUUUGAGAUACCUCCCAACAAUCUCUACCUUGAACUAAGUUAACUUUUCAUCUUUCCAUUAUAUAUGGUUUAACAAAAAAAAAAAAAAAAUACCACUUGUGCACCUCACAGUCUAUGUGUGUCACCAUCUCCUUCAUGCACCAAAAUUCCCUUCAUGCACCAUGGUCUUAUUGUGUGUUACAUUUCUCUUGUUUCUUGUAUCACAUUAUGAUGAGAGAAUAAUUAAUUCCCCCUUAACAAAAAUUCUCUUUGUAAUCCUCUUUUGUGCUAUGUUCUUUACUCUUCUUAAAAUCUUUAAACAAAGGCUUGUUCAUACAUCCACAACCAAGGUUCUUCCAAGUAUCUUUAACCAAGGUUCUUUCGGACAUCUUCAACCAAAACUCUUCUCGACAUCUUGAAUUAAGGGACUAAUACCACUUGUUAUGUGAGUAGAAACUCUAAUGUAAACAUAUUAUUUUUUAUGUGUUUUUAUUUAUUUAUUUUUAUUUAUUUUUUAUUUAUCAUAUUUUAUAACAAACUUGGACUCAACCCUAGCUCAUCUGUCUUUUCCUAUCUCGGUUCUUGUAUCUACCUGAGAAUCAAUGUUUACCUGCCCCUUAAUUUUUUUUUAUUCUUUAUUUAAAAUUUUUUUAGGUGUUGGUGGAUCAUUUUUUUUUUGGGUUGGUGAGUCAAUUAUUAUUAUUUCUUUUUUUAUGUGGUUUAGUCAUCUGUGUUUAUUAUUUGAACAGGCUGUUUUGGUAAACCAUUGGGCUGUUUUGUCAUUUUGGAUGAAGCUUCCUAAAAGGUCAAUGCAGUGGAUUUAAAGCCAUGCUUUGCUUAUUGUGAUUGGUGAGAGAUUAUUGAAUGUAAAUUAAAGUUCACUUAUUGACUGGGCAGGCUAACCUAGACUAUAAAGAUGCAUGCCAUGUUGCUCUUUUGGAAGAAGGUCAUUGCAGGCCAUGGGGGUGCGUCCCUCUUGCUAAAUCAUUUUUCAAAAUCUAUGCAAAUUUCUGCACCUUUAUAUCCACAACCACAAUAUAUACUUGUUGAAGCCUCUAGCUACACUUUCUCACAUGUCCUGCUAGCCCUACUCAAAUAUUCCACACAUGUACUGCUCGGCCAUUUGCCCAGUGCGCUACCGGCCGGAAUGGGUAAAACUGAUGCUAGUUUUGUAUUGGGCAAGAUCUUUCCAUUGCCCAAUACAAAACCAGCAUCAGUGUUACCUAUUCCACUAGCGAACUGGCCAACUGCCCCAGCGGUGCAUGUAUGGGAUAUUUGAGUACCCAGCAGGACACGUGAGAAAGUGUAGCUAGAGGCUUCAACAAGCAUAUAUUGUGGAUACAAAGGUGUAGAAAUUUGAUAGAUUUUUAAAAAAAUGUUUUGACAAGAAAAUUAAAUGCACCGUUCCAGACCUUGGAAACAGUUGGUGUUUCAGAUGCCUCCCAACAUCACUUGUUGGAUACUUGCAAAGAGCUUUAUUUUUAAUAUACUUGCUAACUUAUUAUGAAUUCGUGCUUAGGGACAUGUUUUAUGCACUUCAAAUUUUGUUCUUGUUGAAGAAGCCAGGGAAGGGCUCAUGGCAUACCUCAUGUUUGGUUAGUUCUUAACCAUUUCCUGUUUCUUUUCUGCUUUUUUUUUUUUUUUUUUCUUAUCUACUUUCUUGGCUACCAAAAGGAGAUUUACUGUUACAAAAUUAUAUCCUAAUAAGUUGCACUUUUUUUCUCCGCAACCAAGAAAUGCUAGGUUACAGCAAAUAAGUAAGAGAAUACCCAGAAGCAAGGAAAAACUCUUUGAAAUCAAUGGCAUCGGCAAGUAAGUUAUUGGAUCUGGUUUGCUUGCAAUGAAUUGGUAAACCAUCUAUAUGGAAUGGAGAUGUGGGCUCAUUCAGGGAAAAGGUAAGGAGAUAGAGUGUUGGAAACAAUUGAAUCUACCAUCAGGAAUACCGACAAAAGAAGCAGUGGUAGUAAUGACAGUACUGAUACCAUCAACCGGAGAAGAGAGUCUGCUAAGUUUUUGGAUGCAAAUCCAGAAGAGGAUGAUGACUUCACCACGCACUGAUCGGUCCAAGGGAAGGGCAACAGAAAGGCACAACAAAGGUGUUGAGGGUUUGAUACAGGAGAGACAGACUAUUCCAUUUAUGAUGUUGCCAUUAAUGGAACAGCUUUAAAGGUUGAUAAGGGACGCAUGGAACAAGAAGAGCAAUGCCUUCAUGGCCAACACAGGAAGGGUAGACAUAUUAUUGCCAUAAUUUAAACUUUUGCAUCCCUAAGAAAGCAAUCCCUUUUGUAAGCCAUUCAUAAUUGAAGCAUAGAAUCAAUAUUAUAUUGAUUGAAUAUAACAGAAGAUAAAUUGUUGUCUUGUACAAUUUUGCAUUAGAAAAGCUUAUUUUCUGACACGCUUGCAGUUCAUUUUUUUUUUUUUUUUUUUGUGAUUUUGUACUUUAUUUUCCUCUCAUUUAGAACAUAACAUGAUAGAAGGGAAGACUAAGGGUGGUGGCUGCGGCUAUGGUGUUGGUAUUGUUCUUCUCAUUUAUAACACAAGCCCUGUGAUGAACCGCAGGAAUGCUGCAUCUGCCUCUCUGCCUAUGAGGAUGGAACUGAGAGCUGCGCGAGCUCCCUUGCUGUCAUGCCACCUGCCCUCUCUGCAAGCUGAAGUGGGCGUGAAGAAGGAUAAAAAAAAAAAAACCAUAAACUCUUUCAAAGUAGAGAUUCAUUUAGCAUCGAUCUGUGUUGUGUGUAAGGUUUGUGCAGAUUAACUGCUGGCAUCAACUUAUUUGUAAUACAAGUAAUGAAAAAGAAGAUGAAAAAAAAAGAGAGCUCAGAUGCGUGACUUCUCAUCAGCUCAAAUUACUCAUCACUGCCCCUACUCCUUAAUAGGCCCUGCCAUCAGCUCGGACCCUGGUCCAACCCAAGGGCAAGGCACCAGUAAACCACUUGACUCUCAUGUGUUUGGUGCUAUUGGUUGAUCCUUUUUCUCUUUAUUGUGAUGGUCUUGAUUUUAACAUAAGAGACAAAGAAACGGAAUUAUGUUUGCCUUUUUUGUUUCUUUUUUUGCCAUUUAUUCUAUUUCCAAUUGGGUGGUACAUGAGGGUAGGGCAACCCAAUUGGAUUCUUGGUGUGGUAGAUAAUAUUUUUAAUACUUAUUGGGCUUAGGUAAGUUUUGUUUAUCCAAAGGAAUUAACAUUUUUAUAAUAUUUCUAAGUUUAUUAUCUUAUUUAUAUAAUAAUAUUUAUUUUUAUCUAUUUUAAAAUUGUUUAAAAAAUUACAAAAUUAUAAUUAUAUUAUUUAUUAUAUAUAUUUUUAUUAUUUUAAAAUAUUAUCUUAUUCAUUAUUCAAAUUUUGAUAUAAAUAUAUAAGAAAAAAUUAUAAAAAUAUACAUUCAAUCCAUCUUGACUUAAUGAAUUAAAAUCUUAUCAAUUCUAACUUACAAAAGUGAGAUUAAGUUGAAUAUGAAUUGAACAUCUCGAUACUAAGAUUAAAUUGAACGAUAUUGUAUAUGAGGUGUUUUUAAUCCAAUCCAAUUUCUUCUCUCUCAACCACUACAUCUAUCUUUUGAUCAUGAGAUAUUUUUUUUGACUCCCCUUGUGUAAUUUGGGUUGAGAUGGUUGUGUUAAAGUAAGAAUUCACAUUGUAAUUUCUUUAAAAUUUCAUUAAAAUUAUUUUACAAGAGAAUGGAAAAGUUGCUCAAAUGUUUAAAAUUCAAUUUGAUUGAAUUAAUUUAUUUAGUUUAGAAAGUUAUAAAAUAAUGUGUAAAUUGUAUCUUAAUACUGUGGAAAAUAUCAUUGAAGUGUCCUUGAAUAUCUAGGGAUUAUGGUAUUCAGGUAAUUUGUAGUGAAAGUAACAAAAAAACAAAAAAAGAUUUGGAAGUGUAUAGAGAAAUAUAUAAAACUUAACGAUUCAGCACAACCCUGUUAAUCAUCAAUUCUAUUAACUUUGGCCAAGCUACUUGAAUACUACUCAACCAUUCAGCUCUAUCUAGAGCUAUAUCCUUUAUUUUUAACUUUUUGAAAUCAUGGUUCUUCUCAAGUAAUUUUUUCAACUUAUCAAUUUUGGUCAUACUCUCACCCGCAAUAAGCAUAUCUUCACAACAUAUUAGCAAAUAAAUAAAGUUUCCAUCAAAUAAUUUGCUAAUAUAAACAUAAUGAUCAAAUUAAAAUUUGAUGUUAUUCUUCCUAACCAUAAAUUGAUCAAAUUGCUUGUAUCAUUUUGGGGGAUUGCUUCAAAUCAUAUGAUAAUUUAGAAAAUUUACAAACAAAUUGUUCUUUUUUGGGUUCUUUAAAACCCUUCAAUUGAGACAAGUAUUUCUCUUCAUAUAAAUCACCAUGGAAAAAUGCAAUUUUAACAUCUAAUUGAAACAACUACAUAUCAUACUAAGUAAACAAGAAGAGCUAACAAUAAUCUAAUAGAAGAAUGUUUAACAACAUGAGAAAACACUUCAUUAUAGUUAAUGCCUUUUUAUUUUGCAUACCUUUUUGCAACCAAUGACAAUACUGAUACCAUCAAGAGAAAAGAAUCUGAAGUUCUCCUUUUUACAAGCUACGAGAUUCAAAUAUGUGGCUUAUCUAAAUGCUAAAUUAAUUUGUGAUUCAAGCAAUGAAAUCACAACAAUCUUGCUUUCAUUAAUUUUGAAGAAAAAUAGAAGAUUGUCAUAAAAUUCCUUUUGGAGUGGAGAUUUAUGAUCACUGGCAUGCUAGACUAGCUCGUUGAAUGCAUUUCAAUCCAAACAAUUGUUUCAUUUUAUUUGUAAUUAGCUAUGUAUGUAAGUCAUGUUAAGCCUUUUCAACGAGUCUAUGUAUGGAUUGAAGCAUACGUAAUUAUAGAGGGAUUCUGUUCUAUGUUACAUCUUUGAUACUAAACAAACUUUUAAUAGGUGUUUUUGAUUUAUAUGAUUAAAUUUAAAUUACUAAAAGAUGUUAAGGAAUGAAAUUUAAGCAUUAAAAAAUAAGACCGAUAUAUAUAUAUAUUAUUUUCCUUUUUAAACUCUUUAUUUGAAAAGCUUGUUCCUUGGCAAGUUUUUUGAAGUUCAAAUUUUGGUGGUUUUAUAUUUCAUUUUUAUUUAUUUAUUCAAAACACAUCACAAUAGAAGGGAAGAUGAAGGAUUGUGGAUAUGGUUAAGGAGUUGGUAUCAAUGUACUUUUGAUAGUGUUCUUAACGUUAGGCCAAGUAUUCUUGCUUUGUUCCCCUUCCCUUUAGUUGUCAUUUUAUUGAUUCAAUUAGUUUAAUUCCUAAGUACAAGAAUCUCAUGUGUAUAAUACUCAUAGACAUUUUGAUGACAUUUUCCACAACAUUACCAUACAAUUUACACAUUGUUUUACAAUAGUCUCAAUAAAAUGACAAUUUCACCACCCAUCUGUUCCUCUCCCUCUUUUCUUCAUCUUUGCUAACAAAAUGAACUGCUUGGUCUACCUCUUUGUCCAAUCAUGGGAUCAGAUACUUAUCUUUGGCAUACAAUAUGGGCUAUUGGGUCUACCACUUUGUCUUGUCAAUUAUUAUUCAAUCAAUGAUGCAAAGUUUUUUUUUAGUUUAUUUAUUUACUUAUUUUAUAAUCAUUUUUACAAGCCAUAUGAUUUAAGGUUAUGUUUCACUUGGCCAAAGUAUUAAGAAAAGAAAAGAAAAUAUUAAGAAAAAUAAUUUUUCUUAUGCUUGAUUAUAUUAUGAAAAAUAUAAAAAAAUAAUUAGAUAUAAUUAAAAUUUAUGUAUUUUAAAAUUAUUUAAUCUUUAUAUAUAAAAGUUAAAAUAAGUAAAAUGGGUUUAAAGUAUAAUAUAGAAAUAGUUGAUUAAAUUUAAAUUUUUUUAUUUUCUUUUUUAUUUUCUAUUUUUCCCCUCAUUUUCUUUCAAAUCUUCUGAGAACCAAAUAUAACCUAAAUAUUUGGCUUACCUCAAUAUCGAAAAAGUUAGUGAUAAGUUAGUAAUUCAAGUACUAGAUCUGAUACUUCCCUUUGCAACAAUCCCAUUUUCAUUUUGAAGAAAUUACUUAUUAAACUGUAGACCCUCCAUUUUGCAUGUCCUCCUAGCACAUGUCCUAUUAGGUAUUGAUUCUGUAUUUUACAGCAAUUCCCUGGUGGCCCAUUACUACUCAUGUAGAUUAUCUUUUCUAAGCCAUCUUGGAAACUUUAGUUGAGGGAUUUAUCAAACUCCAUUGUGACUCUUGAUAACCCUAAUUUAGACUUAGGCUCACUUAGGUGCCCUAGACCCACUUAGGCACCUUAGGUCCACUUAGGCGCCCUAGGCCCACUUAGGUGCCUUAGGCCCACUUAGGCACCUUAGGCCCACUUAGGCACCUUAGGUCCAUUUAGGCACCCUAGGCCCAUUUGGGAACCCUAAACCCUUUUGGGAACCCUAGGCCCACUUAGGCACCCUAGGCCCAUUUAGGCACCCUAGGCCCAUUUAGGCUCCCAAGACCCAUUUAGGCACCCUAGGCCCAUUUAAGCACCUUGGGCACAUUUAGGCACCCUAGACCCACUUAAGCACUUUAGACCCAUUUAGGCACCCUGGGCACAUUUAGACAUCCUAGACCCACUUACGCACCCUAGGCCCAUUUAGGCACCUUGAGCACAUUUAGGCACCCUAGACUCACUUAGGCACUUUAGGCUCAUUUAGGCACCCUAGGCCCAUUUAGGCACUCUAGGCCCACUUAGGCAUCCUAGGCCCAUUUGAGACACCCUAGGCCCAUUUAAGCACCCUAGGCCCAUUUAGGCACCCUAGGCAUAUUUAGGCACCUUAGGCCCACUUAGGUACCCGACUCAUUUAGGCACCCUUGGCCCAUUUAGGCACCCUAAAUCUUCUACAUGAUUGUGAUUGGUUUUCUUGAUUAGACAUUCCAUUUUUUUGAAAUCACUUAGCCUACUUAGAUAUCUAUAAUUAACCAAUUAAUUGUCACAUUUCCCUUAACUUAGUCAGUAAAGACCUUUAUAGGGCUUAGAGGGGUGCUACCUCUUAGAGGUACCUUCCCAAUAAAUAACCUGAUCCCUAGACCUAGACUUGGGUUUUUCAAAUAUAUGCUUUUCCAAAAACUAUGGGGUCAUUUUUUAGGAUUUUAUUUCUUGUUUUAUUUUCCUUUUAAAAUAAAAUAAAAUAAAAUAAGUGGUGACUCCGACUUUUCUAAAACUAAUUUUUCACAAAUAAAAAGCGAGUCUUGCCGAUCGAGUGGGGACGCACGUGAAAAAUGCAGGUCCACAUAAACUUUAAAACAUUGCCAUGAUAUUCCGUCCAACAAAGGCUAACCACUUACAUGCUAUUUUCCCUCAUUUCAAUUCAUAUGAUUGCUUCAUUCUAUUUGUCCUUAAAUAAAUAAAUUAUAAAUACACGUCUAAGUAUGGAUUGCAAGAUAUAAAAUUGUAAAAAAUAAAAAAAUUAUAUUACAUCUUUGAUACUUUACGAAUUUUUAAUAUAAGAUCUUAAUCUAUAUCAAUAAAUAUAAUUAUUGAAAGGUGAGAAAAAAAAAUUAUGGACAAAGAAAUGAGAUUAAACUAUAAAAAAAUUUAACCAUGGUUACAAUGUGAAUAAAUGGGAUGUAUAGUCUUAUAGUUAAUAUUGAACAGUUACUUUUGGUAUCAUAGAAAAAUCUAAUCAUGUGACAACCGCAUCACUCCUUAAUGGACUUUUUUUUUUUUACAUGUAGCUACUUUUUUUUUUUUUUUUUUACCUUUUUGAAUUCUUUCACUUCUUUUGAGAAAAGCCAAGUACAUGGGCCCUUAAGUUGAAAAAUGAAUUCACUCUUAUAUUUCUACAUUGUUAUAAUUUUCCAUAAAAAUGAUCCACCAAAUAAAGUUAAAAUUUCCCUAGCCACCAUUCCUUUAUUUUAUAAAUAAAUUUGGGAAUACAAGAUAAAACUAUUAUAAGGUAUAAAUAAAUGUGACUAAUGUACUCAUGUGACCAAUAUCUAAUUUUUAUUUUGAUAUAAUUGAUAAAUCUAACCAUAAGUCAAUGAAAAUAAUAGUUUUUCUUGACCCUUUAAUUGCACUCCCUUAAUAUUUCAAAACUCUUUUACAUCUAAUGCUCUUAUUCUUUCUUUUUUCUUUUUUUUUUUUUUCCCUUUUUCCCUUUGUUUUCUUUUUUCUUUUUUGAAUUCUUUCACUUCUUUAUGAAAAGGGAAUGUACCUAGAACAUUAGGUUGAAAAAUAAGUCAUGACAUGUCUAUCUUUUCACAUUGUUCUAAUUUUCCAUAGAAAUAAUCCAACAAAUACAUUUAAAUUUCAAAUACGCAUACAAUUAGAAGAAGGGAAGAUGAAGGGUGGUGGCUAAUUGACCAUGGCUAUGGAGUUGGUAUUAAUGUUCCUAUGAUAAUGUUCUCUAGCUAAAGCCAAGUAUUUUUGUCUUGUUCCCCUUUCCUUUAAUUGUCAUUUUAUUGAUUCGAUUAGUGUAAUUACCCGAGUACAAGAAUAUCAUGUGUAUACUCAAAGAUACUUUAAUGACAUUUGCAACAACUUUACCAUUCAUAUGGUUAAUAUUGAACCAUUAUCUUUUGAUGUCAUAGAAAAAUCUAUCCAUGUGAUAACCAUCAAUGUAAAUAAUAGUUUUAAUUCCUUUACCUCUUAGUGGACUCUUUUACAUCUAGCUACUUCUAUUCUUUUUCCUUUUGCUUUUUACACAUACACACACACACACACACACACACACACACAUAUAUAUAUAUAUAUAUAUAAUUAAAUGAGGAUGCACAUGGGCCCUUAGAUUGAAAAAUGAGACAUGGCUUGCCUAUUUUUUCACAUUGUUAAAAUUUUCCAUGAAAAAAAUCUAUCAAAUAACUAAAAAUUUCAAUUCUAAUGCAACUUAACCUUAUUUUUCUAAACUUGAGUUGAGUUUAGGUUGGUCAAAUUGAUCAAGUGGUAUGAUUCAAAAUCUAUUCAUAAUGUUUUUUAAAAACUUAUUUUUUUUCUAUAUAUUCAUGCCAAACUUUAAAUAGAAAUGAAACAAAAUUUCAAGCAGUAGUAAAAAAAUAAAAAAUUAUAUAAUAUAAUUAUAAUUUGAUAUCGUUUCUUAAAAAUCUAUAAAAAAAAAUUAUUAUAUAAAUUAAUAUACAUUAUUAAUAUGUUAAAAUAUUAAAUCAUGUUUGAGUUACAAUUAGAUUGUCCAAACCUUGAUUCAAAUUGAAAAAACUUAACCUAAACCUAACCAAGUGUUGAAAAUGAUUGUCUAAAUUCACCCAAAUAUUGGAUUGGGUAAAACUAUCUUGUCCAAAUUGCACCCUUAUAUUUAGUGAUCAUAUUUCCCUUUUUUCUUCCUAAAUUCUUUGAUGGACCAUUCUUCAUUCCUUUUUGCCUUUUCUCUUUUUUGAAUUAUUUCACUUCUUUUAUGAAAAGCUAAUGCACAUGGGCCCUUAGCUUGAAAAAUAAGUCAUGACCCCUAUCUUUCUACAUUGUUAUAAUUUUCCAUGAAAAUGAUUACAAAUGAGUUAAAAUUCCAACUCCAAUCCAAUCUUAUUUUCCUAAUCUCGUAUUGGAUUUGAAUUAAUUAAGUUGUAUGAUUCAAAGUCCAUUCACAAUGUUUUCUAAAAGUUUUUUUUUUUUAAUAUUUAUACAAAAAUUUAAAUAGUAAAAUAAAAUUUUAAAACAGUAAUAAAAAAUUAGAAAUAAAUUUACAUAUAUUUCAAAAAAUGAAAAAUUACAUGAUAUAAUUAUAAUUUGAUAUUUGUUUUAAAAAUAUAAACAAUAAAUAUUAUUAUAUAAAAAAUAUAUAUUAUUAAUAUUAUAAAAUAUUAAAUUAGGUUGGUUUCAUGCUCGUAAUGUCCGAACCAUGAAGGAAUACUUGAAGACGGACAAAACUAGCAAAUACUAUAUGUCAAGAGGAGGAGAAAGCCUACCAAAUUUUUGGUUGCACCUAUCUCAAUUCAAAAUGUUGUGGACUACAAAUGAGUUUAUAAAAGAAAAUGAAAAUCAACUCAAAAGGUUUGAAUGCUAAGAUCCUAAAUUCCAAGGAAGUUUAUUUGAUGCGACCAACUUACUUUUGGAUGACAACUGAUUCAUGCCCAAUUGGUGUCUCAGCUGAUUUGUGUUCAGCUGGUGCUCCUUGAUUGAGGAAGUGAUCAACAAAAUUUAUACCUAUAACACCAUACACUAGGGUAGCAAAUAAAAAGCUACUAUAGUAUAGUGGCUCUAGGAUCGUUCACUGGGAAUGAUUAACAAGCAAUCAAGGAUACCAAUUCCAAGUGAAUUGGUCUUGUUUCAUUUCACGGUUAGCUUAAGAAAUAAAACACAAACUUUGAUUGGUAAAGGUUGAGACUUAAACUAACUAAUCUUAACAGAAGUUUGGAAUAAUUUAGGAAGAAAAGCAUUCCUUGGAGAUUUAGGUUCACUGGGGUGGUUCCUCAUGCAAAAGACAUAGCUUCGGUCAGAUGGUUCAUUUCCUCGCAUUAGAGAUUCAACUUAGAGUCAAUUCUCCAACCGGUGAUGUACAGAGACUCCUUCAAUUAGAUUUCACUUUAAUUCUCUCACUGAUGCAACUUGCAAUGGUUUUAGCCUCUCACCAAGCCUUAGCCAUUCAAGGUGAUCUUUAACCUUGGAUUACCCGUCAAAAGCUCGCAAGAGAUAACUAAUGGAUGUCUCCUAGGAGUCCAAAAGCUUAUCAAGUGUUGGCUAUUCUAGAAAAUCCUACCCUGAAGUCACCUCCCAGAGGCUCGCAAGGGGUAAACUAGUGCAUUUCCAUGGUUGGAAAUCACUUGCCUUACCAAGUGUUGGCCCAGGUGACUCCAAGGUGUUUUAAGUUAACUAAAAACAUUGAAAUCACUAAAGGAUUUCACUUCCUUUUCAUUACUAGCUAAAACCACAGAGCUUUGCAUUCUUGCACUUGGAACCUUCCCCGGCAACCUUAGCUCCAAGGAAUUGGAGGUUUAGUUACUCAUUCUCUGGGGAAAACUCCUCAGAGAAUUCAUAACUUAUAAAUAAAAUGAAAAUACAAAGUGAGAAGGUAAGGCAGUAGAAAGAAAAGACCUUUACUUGCUUACCCAAACGUUUACAGAAGGAACUCCUCUCUGAGAACAGGCUCCCGAGAGGCAUAUAUAUCAAACCAAUAUAAAACUAAUUGUUACAAAGAUAUUUGGUCUUUUUACUAACUUAAAAACUAAGGAAUCAUGUAAUUGGUGGUUUACAAGGAGUAUUUUGGGAUUUAGACACAAAAUCUAAUGGAAAAUAUCUCCCAAUGUCGGUNNNNNNNNNNNNNNNNNNNNNNNNNNNNNNNNNNNNNNNNNNNNNNNNNNNNNNNNNNNNNNNNNNNNNNNNNNNNNNNNNNNNNNNNNNNNNNNNNNNNAAAGUGGCUGCUACGACUGUCAUCAAGAAUAGGCUUCAUGGCAGAUUCUCUUUGCUUUUUCUCCUUGCAAUCCGAAUUCACUCUGGGAAAAUGAGUUCUAAGCUUUGCCCAAGAUUCCUCAUAGCUCUCCUCAUUCUUGACUUGCUUUGGUGAUCAAAAUACUAACAAAAACACCAAAACUUACACAAAGUGAUCAAAAUUGCUUUAAAGGAUCCUUAACAUGCCAAUUGAGUUAAAAGGCCUAAACUACUACUCAAAAGUGUUUAAAAGGAUUAAUUAUAGGCUAUCAAAUAGCACUUUUUGAGUAGUAAUCACUCCCCCCAACCGACAUAUUGCUAGUCCCUUAGCAAUAUAGGAGGGAAAAUUAAAAAUAAAUAGCAAACUAAUUUAAAAUUUACAACAUCAUGCUGAAAGGAAAAUAAUUCUCAAGUGGCAUGAUGAUCUAUUUCUCACAUGAAUCAUUAAAGAAAUACAAACCCAAAUCUCAACAAGAGUCAUAACAACUAUGCUAAACACUGUCAAUCAAGGGAGUGCAUUAUGCAAACUGAAGUUUUAAAAUCAUUUCCACUUUCUAAGAAUCAAACUUUAGUCUUCCACAAAAGUCUAUGUGUAUUGGCUCCUUAGGUUCCGAGAAUAAUAUGCUAAACUAGUUUCACCCCCCAACCUAUCUCUUUUCAACACUUUAGCAAACUGACCAAAAUCAAUAAGAAAAGAACACACUUUCAUCAUUUUUUUUUUUCUAGGGCAGCUUUAUGGGGUACUCUUUCUGACUUGUCCAUGUAAUGGGGGUCCAUCGAUGACUCCCAACCAAUUAAGGUUUAGGGCACCAAGCUUUAAGGAUCUUUCAACCACAACUCGGAUUUUUCCCCGGACUUUUAAGAAUGAAUUUCUAAUACCCAAGCAUCUACCAUAUGCUAACUCUACCUAUUCACCCAUAUAACGAGCAUUGAGGUCGGUGACUCCCAACCAAUUAAGGCUUAGGGCACCAGGCUUUAAAGAUUUUCACCAUAUACCCCUCAGACCUUGCUCGGGUUUCAAGGCAAGCAAACAACUUUCUUUAUUUCAAAGGCUCAUUGGCCUUUUGCAGGGUGUUUCAAUUUUUAUCAAAUGAGGUCAAAAUUAUACUAAGUCAAGAGGGAAAUAGCUUUUCAUCUUAUAAUCGGAAUCUAAUGUGCACAGUGUGUGGAUAGCUUAAAGUGGAAGAACUAAAUUCAAUUUCAGUAGAAGUUUCAACAAUUGAACCACUUUAGUAAGCAUAAUCCAUACUCUAAGUCAAGUGAAAAACAACAGUUCAAUUUCUCUUGGUUUAAUUUGAAAAUUUUCCUCAAAAUUCAUGGAGAAUAGAGUAACAAAAGUAAAAAGUAAAAAUUACAACUAAUUAACCAAUAUAUUUGCAAUACCAAAAAGAUUUAGCAUACUUCCUUCCUCAUACCCCCCAACCGAACUGAGCAUUGUCCUCAAUGUGAUUUGAGUGACUGUAAUAAAAGGGAGGAAGUGGUACCUCCAUGCUGAUAUCAAAUUCGAAUAUUGAUUGGGGAAAACCACAUGUUUCAAAAAGAAUAGAAUAUGUGAGAAAAGGAAAUAAGGAGAACUUAAUGCUAACUUUUAACAAGAAAUAUUCAACUUGUAUUACUUUGAGUUCAUUUGAUUACAAUGCUAAAGACAAGUAACACAAGGAAUCCCAUAUAUAGUACCAAAAUACUGGGAUUUCAUUUCAACUAAAAAACAAACAAUCAUAAAAACAUAAACAGCAAAUAUAUAUAAUGUCUGAUGAGUGAGGUGAUGGUGCUAGGCAGAAGGAUCUGCCUCCUCAGUAGGUGGAUCAGCUGGGGCUUCGGGCUCUGGAGGAUGAGCCUCUGAAGGCUGAGAGUGUGGCUCUGGUGGAGUAGAAAUGGAGGGCUCUACAGCUUGUGGCAGAUCGAAAUGGACUUGGAGCUGCCUUAGGAUGGCAGCUUGUUGAGCCUGAGAGGCUAACAUCUGCUCCUGGCAUGCUUUAAUGGCUGCCAACUCCUGAGCAAGAUUGCUCUGAGAAGCUGUAAGAGUCUCCAAUGCACGGCACAACUCUCGAUAUUCAGAUAUAGGGAUGGCCAUCCUCGGCUCAGCUGAUGUGGAUGGCUGUGAUGAAGCAGGUGCAGCUAGUGGAGCUCUAGGGAUGGCAGGAGUGGCAACUGUUAUAUCUUCAGGUGCAUGUCUUGGGGAGGCUCUCCUUGCAGCUGGUUGAGGUUGCCCAGGCUGAUCAACUUUGUAGGCCGUCAUAUUAUUCCAUUUAUCAAGAGUAAAUGGCUCACGACAUAUUCUCUUUUUCUCCAGCUGAGGCUCAGCCGGGUAUCCUAGAUGUUCCAAAAUUUGGCAUAGCAGCCGUGGGAAGAGGAGUGGAAUGCAAUUUGCUCUUUGAAGCUUCUUCUUGUGAACCUUCUCCUCAAAGUAGAGAAGGGCUGCCAUGAUCAGAUGAUGAGGCCCAAAGAAGAAUCCUUCUGACAUCUUGUACAGGGCUUCCAGGAGAACUCCCUUUCUUUGGGUCCAAUGCUGCAGGGGAUAGAUAUUAUGCCUCAAAAAGGCAUCAAUCAAAAACAUAACUGGAGGUAGCUCCCCCCUCAGCAAAUGUGAUCGAUUUGUAGCUCCUCUGGUUAGGGUGCGAACCAUCUCUAACUCAGUAGGAUUUGCCCAAGCUUUAAAAUUGUCGAAUUGGGUUGGCUCAAAAGGAAUUUGCAGAGCUUCAGCAAUAUGUCUUGCUCCCAAAAUAUCAUGUCUCCCAUCAAUUGUGAAAUGAAUCAGAGUUGGAUUUCUUACCUAUUUGGUUGUCAUGGACUGGUAGAAAUCCGUGGCUAUCCGAGGAUAGAAAAAGUCCCUUGGAGCUAGCAAAUGCUCCAUAUGAUACCUCCUCAGCAGCUGGAAUGAUUGGGCUAGCUCUGGCCUUACUCUGAAUGCUGCUAAGUCGAAGCAAAGCUCAGAAUGGAAUGCUCGAGUUCGACAAUCCAAGUUUCCUUCGAUUGGGGGCUGAGGCAGCAUUGGCCUUCGGAUUACUUCUUCCAGAGGUGUUUCCGCUUGAAUUUGGGGCUCGGGAGUGGCACUUGAGGCUCCUGAGCUUUUUCUUGGGGUGCCGGAGAUGGUACCGACGAUGGAAUUGGCAGGGGACUCGGCAAGGGAACCGGAGAUGGCACUGGAGUUUGAAUCGGUGAAGGAUUUGGGGAUUGCUCAGGGGAUUGCUCAAUCAAAUCAAUGGGUUCUGAGCUCUCUACCCUAGGUUUCUUCUUAAAUGGCCGACCGCCUGACCUGGUUAAAUAUCGUCUUGCCGGCGGCUUUGGUGGCGCCGGCUUCACUGGAGGAGGAUUUGGUCUCGACGGCGAAGGCUUUGGAGCAGGUUCUGGAACAGAACCUGGACUUGGCUCCUUUCGCAGACUCCUUUUGCGGUUCGAAGGGGAUGAAGACUUUGCCCCUCGCGUUCGUGCCAUUUUGGGCUAUCGAUCUUUGGCCGGCGCUGCUGAACGGAGAAGACGACAGGAGGUUCGGACGGCGUGGCUUGGCGAAGAAGACGAAGAGGCUGCGAGAAUGGUGCUCUGAUUUUUGAAACCCUUUUCGCAGCACUUUUGACCGGUAUAAAUAGGAAAAAUGGAAGCCCAAGGAUCAGUUUAAGUUUCGCAACAAAACGCCAAUUUCGCAGCAACUUCGCAGUGAGUUUCGCAGCUGCGAAAUUGAUGUUACUGUGCUGCGAAGUGGCACUCGUGUGCCAAAUCCACUUUCGCAAUUGUGAAAUGCCCUGCGGAAUGGGACUUUUGGUGCGAAAUCAUGCUUUUCCACUUCGCAAUGGGUUUCGCAGCUGCCAAAUGGAUGUUACUGUACUGCGAAGUGGCACUCGUGUGCCAAAUUCACUUUCGCAGCUGCGAAAUACACUCGCAGAGACUUCUACAGUGUUGCGGAAUGGUUUGGCAACAAAAUGCUCAGUUCGUAGAAGUUUCCUUCACCCUGCGAAAUUUCGCAGAGCUCUGUUUUUCUCCUGUUUUUGCUCUGUUUCGGCUCCAAUUUCGGCCCGAUUUUUUUCUUUUCAAUCCCCUUGAAAUUUCUUUCACCUGGGAUCAUUUAAAACAAUUAAAACACACCUAAAAACAUGAUUUAAGAUCAAAAACUAAGAUCAAAAGUAUGGAAACAACUUGAAAAUUUACAAAAUUUACAAAAAUUUUGGACUGUGGUAAAACCACGUCCAGCAAACCCUUUUUCACUUGGUUUUUUGAGGUUCAAGGAGGUUGAUUGCCUCCUUUUCUGAUUUGAAUGACUCCAUGAACGGCUUAAGACGAUAUCCAUUGACUCUAAAGCUGUCCUUGCCAUUGGAAUUCAAUAAGUCCACCACUCCAUUGGAAUAUACUCGGUGAAUAACAAAUGGACCAAUCCACCUUGACUUGAGCUUCCCAGGAAAGAUAUGGAGUCUUGUGUCAUACAUCAAAACUUUUUGCCCUUCCUGAAAUUCCUUGUUGGAGAUGAGUUGAUCAUGCCACUUCUUCAUCCUCUGUUUUGCAACUUUGGAAUUGAUAUAAGCAUUAUUUCUUAAUUCCUCCAUCUCAUUAAGGUCUAGAAAUCUCUUUUCUCCUGCCUUGAUCAAGUCCAUGUUCAGCUUCUUUAUUGCCCACCAAGCUUUGUAUUCAACUUCCACAGGGAGAUGGCAUGCUUUACCAUAGACAAGACGAUAGGGAGACAUCCCAAGAAUAGUCUUAUAAGCUGUUCUAUAUGCCCACAAUGAAUCAUGAAGCCUAAUAGACCAAUCCUUUCUGUUGGAAUUCACCACUUUCAUCAAGAUGUUCUUUAUUUCCCUGUUAGCUAGCUCAACUUGCCCGGAAGUCUGAGGAUGAUAAGGUGUGGCCACCUUAUGCUUCACUCCAUACUUGGAUAACAGGGCUUCAAAAGGUUUGUUGCAAAAAUGAGCACCUCCAUCACUGAUUAUAGCUUUGGGCACCCCAAAUCUUGAGAAAAUGUUCUCUUUAAGAAACUUGAGAACCACCCUGUGAUCAUUUUUCUUACAGGGGAUUGCCUCAACCCAUUUAGAAACAUAAUCCACCCCCACCAAAAUGUAAGAAUUACCAAAAGACAUUGGGAAAGGUCCCAUGAAGUCAAUGCCCCAUACGUCAAAUAUCUCAACUAUCAGAAUGGGGUUCAUAGGCAUUUGAUUUCUUUUUGUUAACUUUCCAAGCCUUUGGCAUCUAUCACAAGUCCUACACAUGAUGUGGGCAUCUUUAAAAAGAGAUGGCCAGGUAAACCUUGAUUGGAAUACCUUCAUGGCUGUUUUCUGAGAGGCAAAGUGGCCUCCACAUGCAUUCUCAUGACAAUGAGAUAGAAUCCCUUGCUGCUCAUCUUCAGGGACACACUUCCUAAUAAUCUGAUCUGCACAAUACUUAAAGAGAAAGGGCUCUUCCCAGUAAUAAGCAUGAAUUUUUGCGAAGAAGUGCUUCCUGUCCUGUGCAUUCCACUCACUUGGAAUUUCACCAAUCACUAAAUAAUUAGCAAUAUGAGCAUACCAAGGAGUUUUCACUAGGAACAUGAGUGAUUCUUCAGGAAAAUCAUCAUUGAUAGGUAAGGGAUGGGAAUUAUGUGCUAUAACUAACCUUGACAAGUGGUCAGCUACUACAUUCUCCACUCCUUUCUUAUCUUUGAUUUGAAGAUCGAAUUCUUGUAACAAAAGAAUCCAUCUAAUCAACCUUGCUUUUGCAUCUUGCUUUGUCAAUAAAUACUUCAAGGCUGAAUGGUCAGUGAAGACAAUAAUGAAAGAUCCCACUAAAUAAGCUCGAAAUUUAUCCAAAGCAAACACCACAGCUAACAAUUCUUUCUCUGUAGUUGUGUAGUUCCUUUGAGCUUCAUUCAGUGUUUUACUUGCAUAGUAAAUCACAUAGGGCUUCCCAUCUUCUCUUUGGCCAAGCACAGCUCCUAUAGCAAAGUCACUGGCAUCACACAUCAGUUCAAAAGGCAAUUGCCAGUUAGGUGCUCUCACUAUUGGAGUUGUUGUUAAAAAUUUCUUCAGUUGAUCAAAGCUAUUUUGACACCUUUCAUCCCAUAUAAACUUAGCAUCCUUAGCUAACAGCUCAUAAAGAGGUUUUGAAAGACUUGAAAAACCUUUUAUAAACCUCCUAUAGAACCCUGCAUGGCCAAGGAACUGCCUUACUCCUUUCACAGUUGUUGGAGAUGGUAAUUUGGCAAUAAGCUCCACCUUUGCUUUAUCAACUUCAAUGCCUUUUUCAGAGAUGAUAUGGCCAAGGACAAUUCCUUGACGUACCAUAAAAUGACAUUUUUCCCAAUUCAGCACUAGAUUUUUUUCAAUGCAUCUAUGAAGAACUGCUUCCAAAUUAACCAAGCAUUCCUCAAAUGUACCUCCAUAUACGGUGAUGUCAUCCAUGAAAACCUCCAUAAUUCUCUCCACCAUAUCACUGAAAAUACUCAACAUGCAUCUUUGAAAUGUAGCAGGUGCAUUGCUUAAACCAAAAGGCAUUCUCCUGUAAGCAUAUGUUCCAAAUGGACAUGUAAAAGUGGUUUUUUCCUGAUCUGCCAAAUCAAUUUCAAUUUGAAAAUACCCCGAAUACCCAUCCAAGAAACAAUAUAAUGGAUGUCCAGAGACUCUCUCCAGCACUUGGUCAAUAAAUGGCAAUGGAAAAUGAUCCUUCCUAGUGACAGCAUUCAGCUUUCUAUAAUCAAUACACACCCUCCAACCUGAAGUGAGGCGUGUAGUAAUUUCUUCCCCUUUUUCAUUUUGAAUCACUGUGAUCCCUGACUUCUUUGGUACCACUUGAGUAGGACUCACCCAAGGGCUAUCAGAAAUAGGGUAAAUGAUUCCUGCUUGAAGUAGCUUCAGCACCUCAGCUCGCACCACCUCUUGUAGAUGAGGAUUCAACCUUCUUUGAAAUUGACGAAUUGGCUUUGCUUCCUCCUCCAUAUAUAUAUGAUGAGUACAAACUAAAGGACUAAUGCCUUUCAAAUCAGAUAUUUGCCAUCUUAUUGCCUUCUUACACCUCCUGAGAACUUCCAUUAAACAAUUCUCUUGUUGACUGGUCAGAGAUGAAGAUAUCACAACAGGACAUUGAUUAUUUUCUUCAAGAUAUGUAUAUUUCAACUCCACAGGUAAAGGCUUCAGAUUGAGUUUUGGAAUUUCUUUUUCAACAGCUGCCUCCUCUUCUUCAUUGAACAAAGGUAGAAUUUCUUCUAUCUUUCUCCAACUUUGUAGAGUAGCAAGCCCAAUAGGAGAUUCAGAAAAACCUUCCUCAAUAUCCACAAGACUUUCAUUCGACUUGUCUUGCAUAUGUUGAUUGCAGUGCUCCUCCACCAAAGUAUCAAUUAUACAUAGCUCUUCUGGACCUUCUUCUUCUUCCGGAGUGAUUUGCUUUUUAGACAUGUAGAAAAUAUUUAGAUCCAGUGUCAUAUUACCAAAAGUGAGUUGCAUAAGCCCAUUUCUACAGUUGAUGAUUUCAUUUGAAGUUGCAAGAAAUGGCCUUCCAAGGAUGAUAGGAACUAAAUUAGCUUCCUUUACAGUAGGAUCUGUAUCAAGAACAAUAAAAUCUACUGGAUAGUAGAAAUUAUCUACUUGAACCAAUACAUCCUCAAUUACCCCUCUUGGAAUUUUCACUGAUCUAUCUGCCAGAGAUAAAGUGAUUGCUGUUGGCUUCAACUCUCCAAGUCCCAGUUGCUUGUAGACAGAAUAUGGAAGCAAAUUCACACUUGCUCCCAAAUCUAGCAAGGCUUUCUCCACUACCUUUCCUCCAAUCAUGACUGAAAUGGUAGGACUUCCAGGGUCUUUGUACUUCAAAGGAGACUUACAUUGUAAGAUUGCACUUACUUGCUCAGUUAAGAAGGCUUUCUUGUUUACAGUCAACCCUCUUUUGAUGGUACACAAGUCCUUUAGGAAUUUUGCAUACGUUGGAACUUGUUUGAUCAUAUCCAGCAGUGGAAUAUUAACUUUCACUUGCCUCAAGACUUCAAGGAUUUCAGCUGCAUUUCUAACCCCCUUUUUCCCAUGUAAUGCUUGAGGAAAAGGUGGAGAAGUUGAUUUCUUCAGCAUUUCUUCCUUCAGAAACUCCUUCUCUGGAAUUACUUUCAUUGUUGCAUCAGAGUCCUUCUUUUCUUCACUGAUCUCACUCUCUUUAUCUUCCAUGUCCUUCCCUUUCUUUAUCUCUUCUUCUUUCUCAACAUGUGGCAUGGGUGUUGGCUGCUCAAUUUUUUUACCACUCCUUAGAGUGAUCAAAGCCUUCACAUCUUUCACCUGUGAUGAUUCUCCCUCAUGGCUUUCCACUUCAUGGACACCUUUGGGAUUUUGGUUAGGUUGAGAAGGAAAUCUUCCUUUUUCUUGCAGUGUAUUCAAAUUUGUAAGCCUAGAGAUUGAAUACUGGAUGUUAUCAAAUUUUUGAUUCAUAUCAUUUUGCAUUCCAUCCAUCCUUUGAUCAAGUCGAGCAUUGGUGGCUUCUUGCAUUCCAAUAAAAUCUCCCACUACCUUGCUGAGAUUAGCUACUAUUUGUUCAAUACUUGAAGAUUGCUGAGAUGGUGGAUCCGGCUGUUGGUAUUGAGUUGCUCUGGCCUUCCAUGAGAAAUUUGGAUGAUUCCUCCAACUUGAAUUGUAGGUAUUUCCAUAUGGUGCAUUGUUAUUGGGCCUGAAUUGUCCAACAACAUUUGCUUGAUCUCUAUACAUUUCCCUUUCAGCUGAAAUUGCAGGGCAUUCCUCCACCAAAUGUUCAAAUGAUUGACAAUUGGGACACAGCUUCACUUGCACUGGUGCUUCAGCAACAGCUUGCACUUCAUGUAUUCUUUUCAGCUCCAGCUCCUCCAAUCUUCUUGUCAUAGCUGCCAACUUUGCUUUCAUGUCAUCAUCUUCCCUCAAAGUGUACAUCCCAGCCUUUGCAUUGUAAGCAUUCAACUGAGACUUCAUCUUUCCCACUUCUCCUUUGGUUGGUUCAUCCCAUCCCCUUGAAACAUCAGCUACAUAGCUCAAAAAAUCCAUAGCUUUCUCUGGAUUUUUGCUCAUGAAAUCUCCUCCACACAUUGUCUCGAGGAGUUGCUUCAUUGAGGAGGACAUACCAUCAUAAAAAUAGCUCACCAAUAGCCAAGUAUCAAAGCCAUGGUGAGGACAAGCAUUUAUAGCUUCCAUGUAUCUUUCCCAACACUCAUAGAAUUUCUCAUUCUCUUUAGCUGAGAAGUUUGAAAUUUGCCUUUUCAAGCCAUUUGUUCUAUGAGUAGGAAAAAAUUUCUUAAGGAACUCAACUUGUAGAUCAGUCCAAGAGCGGAUACUCCUUGGCCUUAAAGAAUUAAGCCAAAUUUUGGCCUUAUCCUUUAAAGUAAAAGGAAAUAACUUAAGCCUCAUCAAGUCAAUUGAAGCUCCUCCCUCUUGGAAUGUAUUACAAACAUCUUCAAAUUCCUUGAUGUGUGCAUACGGAUUCUCACUUUCCAUCCCAUGGAAAGUUGGUAGAAGUGGAACAAGAUAUGGUCUGAUCACUAGCUGCUCUGUAGGGGGCACUAUACAUGAUGGUGCACUCAUACGAGGUGGAUACAUACGAUCCCUCAUUGAUCGGAAUUCAUUGAGAUUAUCUUGACGACCUUGGUGACUAUGCUGAUCUUUAGGUGUAGCCUCCAUGAUAUUCAAGAUUACUUCCAAUUCUCCUCUCUGAGGUGUAUCACACUUAACAAGCCUACCUCCAAUGUCUCGUAUCCACUUUGGCAUACACAACUAGUAUUCAGCUGCAACUUAAAUAAAAACAGAGGACACAAAGAAAAAAAGGGCUACAACAACAAAAUUAAACUAGACUAAAUUUAAAAAGAUAAACUUAGAUUAUGAAUAAACAAAGAAAGAAUGAAAAUUAGUAAAGUGAAAGAAACUUUACCAACUUGUGAUGAAAAUCACAAGUGCUCAAAAAAAUGGUAUCACAAUGAACUUGACACUCAUUCCCCGGCAACAGCGCCAUUUGAUUCAUGCCCAAUUGGUGUCUCAGCUGAUUUGUGUUCAGCUGGUGCUCCUUGAUUGAGGAAGUGAUCAACAAAAUUUAUACCUAUAACACCAUACACUAGGGUAGCAAAUAAAAAGCUACUAUAGUAUAGUGGCUCUAGGAUCGUUCACUGGGAAUGAUUAACAAGCAAUCAAGGAUACCAAUUCCAAGUGAAUUGGUCUUGUUUCAUUUCACGGUUAGCUUAAGAAAUAAAACACAAACUUUGAUUGGUAAAGGUUGAGACUUAAACUAACUAAUCUUAACAGAAGUUUGAAAUAAUUUAGGAAGAAAAGCAUUCCUUAGAGAUUUAGGUUCACUGGGGUGGUUCCUCAUGCAAAAGACAUAGCUUCGGUCAGAUGGUUCAUUUCCUCGCAUUAGAGAUUCAACUUAGAGUCAAUUCUCCAACCGGUGAUGUACAGAGACUCCUUCAAUUAGAUUUCACUUUAAUUCUCUCACUGAUGCAACUUGCAAUGGUUUUAGCCUCUCACCAAGCCUUAGCCAUUCAAGGUGAUCUUUAACCUUGGAUUACCCGUCAAAAGCUCGCAAGAGAUAACUAAUGGAUGUCUCCUAGGAGUCCAAAAGCUUAUCAAGUGUUGGCUAUUCUAGAAAAUCCUACCCUGAAGUCACCUCCCAGAGGCUCGCAAGGGGUAAACUAGUGCAUUUCCAUGGUUGGAAAUCACUUGCCUUACCAAGUGUUGGCCCAGGUGACUCCAAGGUGUUUUAAGUUAACUAAAAACAUUGAAAUCACUAAAGGAUUUCACUUCCUCUUCAUUACUAGCUAAAACCACAGAGCUUUGCAUUCUUGCACUUGGAACCUUCCCCGGCAACCUUAGCUCCAAGGAAUUGGAGGUUUAGUUACUCAUUCUCUGGGGAAAACUCCUCAGAGAAUUCAUAACUUAUAAAUAAAAUGAAAAUACAAAGUGAGAAGGUAAGGCAGUAGAAAGAAAAGACCUUUACUUGCUUACCCAAACGUUUACAGAAAGAACUCCUCUCUGAGAACAGGCUCCCGAGAGGCAUAUAUAUCAAACCAAUAUAAAACUAAUUGUUACAAAGAUAUUUGGUCUUUUUACUAACUUAAAAACUAAGGAAUCAUGUAAUUGGUGGUUUACAAGGAGUAUUUUGGGAUUUAGACAACAAAAAUCUAAUGGAAAAUAUCUCCCAAUGUCGGUAGCAAACUUCGGGAGGCUUUAGGAACCAUUUCGCAGGAGUAAAAUGGUGUCUGCGAAAUUUCGCAGACACCCAAGAGGGCUGCGAAAUUAUUUUGCAAGACCGAGCUAUCUUCACAGGGCUGCGAAGUUGGCUUCCACCUUGAGGUUUCCAGCUCCCUUCUCGCGGCAUGGUUCGUGCAUCGUCAGAAGGAGAAACACCUUACUGUACAAAAGUGCUGCGAAAUUCUCGCAACAAAAGGCUGAUUCCGCAACACUUUAGAGUGAUUGACUUGUAAUGGCUGCAACUUCUUCGUUUCAACUCCGAAUCGCGCACCGUUUGAAGCAUUGGAUUUUUGACUUCCUGAGCUUUGAAAUGGUAUAUAGCAUGCAUCAUUUGGACUUCAGAAAGUGCUCCAAAAGUGGCUGCUACGACUGUCAUCAAGAAUAGGCUUCAUGGCAGAUUCUCUUUGCUUUUUCUCCUUGCAAUCCGAAUUCACUCUGGGAAAAUGAGUUCUAAGCUUUGCCCAAGAUUCCUCAUAGCUCUCCUCAUUCUUGACUUGCUUUGGUGAUCAAAAUACUAACAAAAACACCAAAACUUACACAAAGUGAUCAAAAUUGCUUUAAAGGAUCCUUAACAUGCCAAUUGAGUUAAAAGGCCUAAACUACUACUCAAAAGUGUUUAAAAGGAUUAAUUAUAGGCUAUCAAAUAGCACUUUUUGAGUAGUAAUCAACAACCCAUGUUCUCCUUUUACUAUUUUCUUUGCUUGCCAAAGUGAAUUCUUAUUUUUGGCAAAUAGAAUGAGCUGUUGGGGCUUACCAUAAUGUUAAGUCUAUCAUUCGAACAAUGGAAUCAAUUUCUUAUUGUUUAGGUGGUUUGAGUUUACCACAAUGUCCAAUUAAUUACUUAAGUAAAGGGAUCCAAACUUCUCUUUUUACCAGCCACAAGAUUUAUACGUGAGGUUAUCUUAAAGUUAAAUUAGAUGGUGAUUCAAGCGAUUAUAAGGUGUAGCCUUCAAGUGAUAGUUGGCCAUGUGCUAACUCUGUCCUUUUUUCAGCGCUUUUCUUUGUCUUUUUGACUUAUUUGUUUUCUUCAAUACUUUCCACUCGAUUAUCGAUGGCGUUGAGACAUUAUUGAAAAAGUUGGAGGAGCUUUUCUCUCCGCCUCUCUCCAAGUUCUUUUCGACAGGUUGGCUUCUUCGGAGGUCCUCUACUUCAUCAGGGGACAGAAGCUCAGUGAUUCAGUCCUCAGCAAGUUUAAGAUCAAAUUGCUGAUUGUGGAUGAAGUGCUCGACCAUGCUGAGGUGAAACAAUUUAGAUGGGAGUCAAAUAGUGGCUGGUGCACGCAAAGGAUGCUGUCUAUGAUGCGGGAGACCUGCUGGACGAGAUUGCUACCGAAGCUUUGCG
Molecule: long non-coding RNA, 86353 nt
Filed under: Vitis vinifera (wine grape)
Lineage: Eukaryota; Viridiplantae; Streptophyta; Magnoliopsida; Vitales; Vitaceae
Description: long non-coding RNA (VVIN_LNC003934)
Source: RNAcentral